RNAcentral lists this long non-coding RNA (81469 nucleotides) under Marmota monax (woodchuck). The record is from RNAcentral. Lineage: Eukaryota; Metazoa; Chordata; Mammalia; Rodentia; Sciuridae.
ACGAACAGGGAAGCUGAGAGGCAACAAGCCAGUGUGGGAGUUUGUAGCCCACACAUCUUGAUAAGGGUAGAGAAUUUAGCUACUCAGCAAGUCAUUGAAAGGCACUUGCAAGGACAGGACGGGUUCUAGUUAGAGAGCAGCAGGUUGAAAUACAAGAUCUGAGAAGUUGAAUAAUGAAUGCUAGGUGUGGCAAAGUCCAGAAGUAUGUAAAUGAAGCAGGUGGACAUAAAGUCUGACCAAACCAAUAAGGCGAAGGUUUGCAAUGGCCAUCAGAGAAGACAUGGAAAGACUCAGAAUCAUGGCUUGAAUGGAGUGGUGAGGAGAGUCAAACAUGGGGAGAUGAAUAGAAGUGAAGAAGGAGCAGAGGAAUGGCACACAGAGGUGACUGCAGGCAGAUGGAACAGCAAGGCAAGGUCACGGGCGCCCAGAGGAACAUGGCAGGUCUUAGAACUAUGAGUGCAAGCGUACCUGGGGGCACAGGGCAGAGGAAGAGACGGCCUGGGAGAGAAGGAGACUGCAGAGACGGGGACUUCCACUGUAUCACAGAGGAACUUGUGAAACUAUAUUUCUCAACAGUAAGUAAACAAAUAGCUAGAUGUUCACAAGCAUGUGUCCAGCCUUUGUGAUUUAUGUAGCAGGUUGUAUACCAGCAGGGAAGUGAAAUGGUACUGUUAUCAUAUCUGAUUUGAAAAAGUUAUUCUUCAUCUUCAGAAAACUUCUAGAAUGAGAGACUUGAUGAAGAGGUGACUUUAAAAUGAAUAAAGAUAUUUGCAGCAAGGGGAAAAAAAACGAGAAGACUGCCGGAGGAGACAGAGUUGGUCCAUAAUUAAUAUGAACAUCAAUCUUUUUGAAACGUUAGGAGGAAAGCCUAUUCUUGCUGAAAUAAUUUGAUUCACUGCCUCUUAAAAUAGCACAGGAGGGAAGAGAAAGGGGCAUUGGCAAGAAGAGGAGUGUGAAAACAAGAGUGCUUGCUGUCUUCCCAUGUUUCCUUUGGUGCACAAAGUCCUAGGAGGGGAGAUCCUGUCUAUGUUACAUAUAGGGUCAGUCUGCUCCUGGCCCCAUCCCCUGGGAGAAGCUGUCACUCACUCGUUGUUAUGGUUUAGAUAUGAAGUGUCUCCCAAAAGCUCAUGUGCAAGACAAUACAAGAAAGUUAGAGGUACAAUGGUCAGGUGAUGAGAGCCUUAGCCUAAUCAGUGCAUUGAUCCUCUGAUAAGAAUUAAGGGUAACGGGUGGUAAAUGUAGGUAGGUGGGGAGUGGCUGGAGGACCUGGGUCACUGGGGGCAUUCCUUUGGCUUAUGUUUGUCCCUGGUGAGCAAGAGCUUUCUGUUUCCUGGUUGUCAUGUCCUGAGCUGUUCUCCUCCUCUACACCCUGAGUAGCAGAACUGGCCGCCAUCUAUACACUGAGACCUCUGAAACCAUGAACACCCAGUAAACUUUUCCUCCUCUGAGUUGUUCUUUUCAGAUCUUUUGGUAACAGUGGCCAAAAAGGUGACUAAAACACUGGUUCAAGCAGUAACGAUAGCUCUGGGAAACAGGUGUUCCUUGGUCGAUGUUUAUUUCAAAUGAAGUUCUGUUCCACUGGUAUUUUAACCCAAAGAACCAUCUUCAUGAUGCAAUCUAGCAACAUUCCAGACAAAUGGUGACAAUAUGUAUCACAUAACAUCAAUUUGGCAUAUUGCACAAUAUAGCAUUAUAAUUAUCUUUUAUUGAAAGGCUUUGGGAUAGGAAUAUGCUAUAUAUGUAUCAUUCCUGCCCAUCCUUAUACCAGCCCUAUGAGGUAGACAUACCCCGCAUUUUGGAGAGAGGGAAAUAGAGACCCAAAGAGGGUGUCAAUAUUUUAGAGGUAAGUGGGAUCUUUGUGGCUGUGCAUCCUGUGAUCUUGUCACAUGUCACACUAUCUUCUGAGCAUCAGCAUCUCUAGUCAAUGGCACUUCCUUAGAGAGGGUCUACAGAUGACAUGACAAAUUACACCCUGUUGCAGCUCACAGCUAUGCUCUUUCCACCUCAGUGGCUCUGUGAUCAGAGAUCAAACUUGAGACCCCAGGCUAGUACAAUAAAUCCAUGCCAUCCUUUACAACCAUACCUGAAAGCUAAGCUCUGUCAGGAAGUGACUCAAGGCAAAGUGGUGAUUUUUGCCCUUCCCAAUACUGGAGAAAGACAAUAUGCCUAGUGAUUCUCUUCAUUCAUUCAUUCAUGCAUUCAUUCAUUCAACAUGCAUUUAGCAAGCACCAUCUAUGGGCUCUACUAUGGUGGACAUCCAAAAUAUACAGAACAUUAAAAAGGUGUCUGGGCCCUCAGUGUGUUCACAGGUGAGGGAAGGCAAAGCCAGCCAUGAGGAUAUGCUAUUGCAAAGCAGUGUGGCAGAGCAAGGAUAUUGUCAUGCAAACUCUAAGGAAGUGUGCAGAGUGAGAGAAACAGAGAGGAGCAAGUGUGUCAUAGUUGGGCCGAUGGGUCUGGCGGAAUACCCCUGUUCUCACAUUCACUGACUGUUCACUGUUUCGGCAGAAGCGAUGUACAUCAGCUCUAUGCAGGCCUCAGUCAGGUUGGUCCAGGAGCAAAGGAAAGAUCAAAGACUCACCUUCCAAAAUCAUCUAAUUUUACAUUAAAAUUUUUUCUAUUGAAAUUCUAGCUAUACUAAAAUAAGAACAGAAUAUACUUGUUAUUGCUGAUUUCUCAAACUCAGUCCUCUCUUUCCAGAUUUCUGAAGAUACCUUUAUUUUGAAUACAAAAAUUAGGAGUUGUACUCCCUGCACACAACAGAAGUUCUGGAAAAUAUAGGUAAGGUAUUCUGUUUCCUUUUUUCUUUAUAAAAAUAUAGUCUGGCAGCAAGCUCUGGUGAGAUUGUUUUGGAUGUUCACAAAAUUCCCUGGGUUCUCUUUCUGUCCUUACAGAGUAUGUUAAGAGAACUACUGAUGUUCCAGAUGGAACUUGUGUGGCCUAGGCAGCAAAAAGAGACAAGCAAAGAAAAAGUGACUGCCCCAGGGGUGGGCAGCAGAAAGAGGGCUGCACCAGCCCCGUCUGACUCCUUGUAAAGCAGCUUCUGUGGAAGACCACACAAUAGUUUCUAUUUAUGUUUCAAAGACAACUAGUGUGUCAUAAACUCAUCUAAAUGGACUCCCACCUGUGAGGUUCUAGAAUAAAAAAAACAAUUGAAUAACCAGUACCGCAGGUGCAAAUAUUACUCUCAUACAAUCACCAACAUUUAUUUUUAGAAAAUUGCAUUGCUUUGGUGUUUUAGGGAAACAUUUAUAAAUCACUAUGUUAAUAAAUUCUAAUAUAACCAGAAGAAAAACAGCUAGUGUGUUCAGCUCCACUAACACUAACACAGAGAUGUUUAUGGCUCCAAAACCAAAAAGACCUGCAGACAGACAGGAAGGAAAUUAAGGUAUUGCUGAUUCAUUUGUACCAACUGAUUCAAUUUAUGAAUUUACAUUCAUUAUAUUAUUCUGCUUAAUAACUUUAUGUUGACAUGUAUAAGCACUGGUUCCUAAACUAUGUAUCUUUCUCUUAAGAAAAAUGCAAAGGGUGGAAAGGAAAGAGGCUUAUAUUUUUGUGCUUUGAUUCACUAAGCAUUAGAGAAAGAAAGAAAAUACAGCAUGAAGCAAAAACGUAAUCUGAUUUGAAGUUGGUAUUCUCUGCCUAGCAAUUCCAACUAGCAAAGCAAUCUACUGACUCAAAAUAGUACCCUUCUUAAAGAGGAAACUGGAAUUUGUGUACAUGUGGGUAUUUAUGUAUGUAUUAUGUAUCUACAUAUGUAUCUAUAUAUGUAUAUAUAUGUAUAGUAUAUUCAUUUAAAAUAUAGGCAUAUGUUAUGCACAGGUGUCUUGAACAUCUCAUUUAACAUCUCAAACAUGUAUUUCCUUCUAAAAUAGGUGCUUGUAUUUUAGGUGGCUUUAUUUGUUUGCUUUACUUUUGCUAAAGAACACUACCCACUCCUUGAGGCAAAUCCUUCCAUCAGGAGGAGACUGCUCAGUAUUUUAUGUAGGGGAAACCUCGAAAUGUUUAUCAUCACAGGAAUGAAUUAGUUCAUCAAACUAUUUCCAUUGAAAAUAUUUGAUCAACUUAGUCUCAUACAAUCAUUUUAAUCUCAGUCAUUCUAAUAUUUGAAUUUAGUAAUUGCUGAGUCUACUAUAUUUUAUAAAAGUACCAUUGAACAUAUUAUAGCAAAUUAAAUAUUUUUCUAAUUGAAUAGCUAUUUUGUCAAUUUGUAUCUAUUUAUCAGCUAUAAUACAUGAUAAGACAUUAACUUAUAUAUGUUAUAUAAAACUGACCGCAGAGGUCCCCAAGCUUCAGCGGGAGCACACAUUUGUAUUCUCAAUGCUUGCAACAGUUGGUGGGCAAUUAUAAUCUCAUGUAGUAAGUUUUGCAACAGAAGCAAACGAUCUGAACCUUGAUUUUCUGAAAUAUAAUUUGAGUAGGGAAGGUUGAGGGGAAAUAUUUAGACAUGGCCAAACUCAACAUCUUGGUUCCACAAAAGUGAGUAAACACACACACACAUACACACACACACACACACACUUUCACUUGGGCCUGCUACUCUAACACAACUGAAGUGGAUGAUGAUGAUUAUUUUUCCUAAACUAAUUACUUUUUGGAGUUCCUUAGUGGAAUAGGUAUGAGAGUUACACUCAGUCUUUUAAAAGGGCUUUGGAUUCUUCUCAGCUCUUCAAAAAAUAUGUUUACACAAUUGUUUUGAAUAAAUAUUAAAUCAAUGUACUAUGCUAGUUUCUAAGAGAUGAAAACUAAAAAUCAUUUAAGUGCAAAUAUUUUAUUCUUCUGACUUUGGAAGAGUAACCAGGUCUUUUUUAAAGCUGAUAUGCAGCAUGGAGUAUGUGUGAGUGAGCAUAUGUACCUGAACAUGCAUACCUGUGGUAGGGGUUGUGGGGAGGAGGAGGUUUAUAUUUCCUGUUAUUUUUUUUUUAAAUCCCUUUAAAAAUGUGGUAUACUUGCAGAAGCUAUUGAUGUUUCUUGCACCUCUCAUUUUAAAAGAAUGUAGAGCUCCUGCUUCCUGAAAAAGAAAAAGUUCUAGGAAUGCUUUCUAACAUCUUUGAAGAUGCUUCAAUCUGGCCACUGGAUUAGUUUUUAUUUGAGGGAGGCAGUACCUGCUGUGGACGCCUACAAGGCUGGACAGAUGGAGAGGAGCAGACGUAGACUGGGUGAUUUGGACAUGGUGCCUCGCUGUUAAAAUGAGCCCUUCACACUUCUGUGAUCAGGGUACUGUGAGAAUGCAAAGUCAGUAUAUGUGAAGUGCGCACCCCAGUGAGUGUCCUGAAAGUACAAGCAACCACUAUCAUUUAGUCAUUGAAAAAUACCUUGUUAGUUAUCCCUCUUUCAUUAAUUGACUUUGUUUAAUUAAAAUCAACUGAAGUAUAAGAAAAGAAGCAAACUUCUAGUAUGAAAAGGAAAUGACCAUUGCAACAGGCCCCAUCCAUUUCCACAAUGUUAUUUACAAAUAUUCCUUAAAAUUUCAAGUAAUUUUUUUUCUUACCCAGGGUGUAAUUCAGAAAGUAAUGAAUAUUAAAUAGAUAUAACUGACAAAAUAUUAGCUGGAUAAGUUAGGUCUAAAUAAGUUGGACAAAUAUUUUCAAAAUAUUCCUUUUAUUCCUUGAUAAAGAAAUAUUUUGAGUUUCUCUAAUUGAAACAUUUUGAAAAGUAUGUUUCCUGUCAAGCUGUCUAAAACAUAUCUUUUUCUUUCUACUAUCUCUUUGCAGUGGAAAAAAGAGAGAACAUUCAUGAAUAGAACUAAUGAGACUAAAGUACAAGAAUUUGUAAAAGUGUGAAUUCCACUUGGAAGUUAUAAAAGAAGACUUGUAUAAAUUAAUAAAUAUACCAUGUUUCUAAAAGAAAGAUAAAUAUCAUAAAGGUAUCAGUUCUCCAUAGUAAUAUAUCAAGUCAAAAUGCCAAUAGUAUUUUUCUUAUUAGUCACCUAAAAAGUUGUAAAAUCCAUCUAAAAUAAAUAUUUUUAAAAAAUGAGAAGCAACUCAUCCUAAAAUACGUUAGUGUGUAGUACAAAGUUGAAAUGGUUUCAACAGAGGAGCAGUUCAUAGAUCUUGGUGGAAGAGGGUGAUAUUCUAACACUAGAUCAUUUCCUUGACUAAGACUUUCUAUGCAUUUAACCUGGCACCACAAAUCAUAAAAAUACUUUGAUUUAUCAAAAUAUUCCUACUAACUGAGUAACAACAGGGAUUUAGGUCAAUUUAGAUUCAGGUGACACCAUUUACCCAUAUAAAUAAAGCCUUCAUGAACUACACCGUGAAAAUGUAGAAAGAAUUAUGGGUAUAUCAGAAAGUAUAACAAAAGAAAACAGUAUAAAUAAAACAAAAACUUUCAGAAGAAAGAGAAAAUGACAAUUUCUAAACCUGACUUAUAAUUUGAACCCUGUGUGGACUCGGCUGUCUCCAACCCUCCCUUUGUGGGACCUGCUCCUUCACAGUUUUCCUCUUGUCCAAGAAGAUGUAUCCUUCAUCCUGGUUAUUCUAUUCCUCUGUACAUCUCCUAAUUUGAUAUCCCAGGUUCUCAGCACAAAUCCAGGAAAGGGAACAAUAAGAAAAUGAUAGCCUUUAUUCGGGGAGCCUGUUGCUUUUUUCACAACUACUUCCUAGACCAAGCAAGGUGUUUGUAGCUAUAGGUCCUCAGUUCUAUUCAUUGAAUAAACAAAUACUCGGGGGAGAAGAAGGAUGGCAGUGGCCAUCAGUGGAGUUGGAAAAGGCAACAGCAGGGAAAAAAAUGAUUGAAAACUCACUCAGUUGCAAUUUGCAGAUGAAGAAACCGGAGAUCAGAAUAAUGAAAUAAGUCCUUGAGACCACAUAGCUUACUAAUGCAAAGGACUAAAUGAAUGGAAGUUAGUUUUUCCACUUGACACUUUUCUGAAUAUGCCAGAAAACCCAAUACACAACUAAGGUUACAACUACAGAUCUGAUCAUUCAAAAAAAUUCUCUUCAUAUUAAAAAAAAGAUGUAGACAUUCUAUGAACUUAACCAGAGAGGGGUUUUGAGGCAAAUACAUUCUAUCUAUAGACUGAAAAUAAUUUUGUCAAGUUUCCUGAACUUUGUUUGAUGAGAUCUGAACAUAAUCUUUUUGCCAAAUAUAAGGUUGAUUUUGGGUGGAGUAGGAUAGGAACUCAUUUCUCCUUGGUUCCUAUUUAAUGCUAUUUCCAACAAUGCUUAUACUGACCAGAACAUUUCUUCCUAAAAUACAAAGAUACUGAGGAAAGGAAACAGGACACAAAUUGCAUCCAAUUUUAAGAAUAAGUGAAGAGUAUUGUAAAACACCAUUUACUUAAUCAACAUUUAUUUUAUUCAGCUUCUAUUUAUAAUCACCUACUGUAUCAGGGCCCAAUACAAGGUGCAAGAGAUGUAAUGAUAAACAGAAGCUAUCCCUGUCCUUAUAGAAUUUUCCAUGUAAGGAUCAGACAUGAAAUUAAGAUAUCACAAUGUGUUCUCUUGGGAUCCAGCUACUUAAAAAUAUAAACGUGACCACAUAUCUGGAUUACCCUGGUUAAUUAAAAACAGCUUAGGAAUUGAGAUCUUCAGACAAAUAUAUAAGUAAAAAAUAAUCUUUGAUGGAAACUAUGUUCAAAUUAUUAGCCUCAAGAGUUUAUUUUUUAAUUUAUGUUUAGAAAAAUUUCAUCUUAACAACCACCAAGAUAAACCAGACUUCAACCUCCUGAACAAUACAAGUCUCAUUAGAAUGUGCACAAAGUUGACUGCAAUGAAGAAAAAAAUAAGAUCUUUAAGAAAGAUAAAGUAGAAAGUUUUAGAAAUUUUUGAGGAAUAGCAAGUUCUUUAACAUUUAUCAAAUGACUAUACAGAUAGCUACACAUAUCUAUACUGUUAAAUGAGUUUACAUAUCUAUUAUCUCAUUAGGACUCCAGGACCUGAUACCUAAGAAGUUUGAUAUCACUGUGGGGUGGUAAUGGGGGAAGCAAUUUUCAUCAACUCUUCUAUGGAAGAAGAAAUUCUUUUGUACAGCAAAAUGACAGAAAUGGUGGUUCUUCCAGAAAAGCACAACUAAUACAGGACAAAACUAAACAAGGACACCAUCUCUUGGUGGCGCCUCAUUAAGAUGAGUCCCAGGGAGUGCCUAGAAAUUCCGACAGGCAAUAUUCUCUUCCUCAAACUCUGUAUUUUCUUAACUGAGAGAAAAGAAAGGAGGACCGUGGAGAACUGAACUCUAAGGGAAAGUGAUGCUGGCCCAGUCUGACAAGAUCAGAGGCCGGGGUGACAGGAAGAAAGACUUUAGGAGAAAGCCAGACCCAAGGAGAACUUAGAACUCUUUUUAAGAACAACAGACCUCUUGUGCUGUGACAAGAAUUGCUUAUUUCCUCUAAAAACUUUGUUGAAGUCACAUAUAACGUUGGCAGAUAGUCUUAGAGGAUUGCUGUACCCCCAAGCAUUAUGCUCCUGGCUUUAUGUCUUUGCCUUUGUAUCUUCACAAUGAAUUAGCCUUGUCAUCUCUUCUGUCCCUGACAGUUUGACAUGCAUCCAUGUGACCCCACAGCUGUACCAUUCUUGACAUCUAGAUGAGGCUCUAUGGCAGGAAUCUCCUUUUGGAUUUGUUCCUUUUUUUUUUCUUUUUUUCUUUCUUCAUUAGCCUACCGUUCUUAUUUGUGGAACUUCCAAAAGUACAAGUGAUCCAAAAACCUCGCUCUUUUAUUUUUUAUUUUCUUUUUUAGUUGUAGAUGGACACAAUACCUUUAUAUAUUUAUAUGUGGUGCUGAGGAUAGAACCCAGUACCUCAUACAUGCAAGGCACACACUUUACCACUGAGCCACAACCACAGCCCCCCAAAACCUCUCUUUUAAAUGAGAGGAGAAAUGUGAUAUUUAUCCAAAGUACAACUUUUACAAAAGGGCUUGUGCUCACACUGGUGAAUCUCAAGCUUGAGGUAACAUUGGAAUAGUGUCAAGGUCUUGGUUGUCCUUAGAUCAUCAUCAAACACCCAGUGCUGGUCUACACAGGGCAGCAAUUGAGAAAAGUCAGGAGGCAUUUCUGAUGAGGGAGAAAUCAAUGUUUCCUGGCCUUGUCUCUCUGCUUUUAAUUUCCACAGAUGUGUAAGGUUGCUGUUCUGAUCAAUCUGACCAGGCAUAUGAUAGCAAUAAUUUAUCACGGAGUCACUAGAAUUAAGGAAUAUAUGGGAAAGUCAGCUACAAACCUAGGUGAAUAUUGACUUUGUCAUUGUAACAUAGGGAGAAGAUUUGAGAGAGAAAAAGUUAAGGAUAGAAUUGCCAAAUAGCAAUAAAAGGUCAAAGGAAACUGUGUAAAUCCAAUUGCCCUGUCUUAGUUCUUUGGACUGAGUGUUUGGACCAUUUUCCUGGUUACACAGGCCAUCUCUUUUUAGAACAAAGAGAAAAGAGGAUUGAUGUCUAUUUCUUAUAAUGUUAGCCACACAACUUCGCACUGUGAGCCGGGUGUGUGUUGAUGUGUUCAUGUACGCACACCCAAAGUACUCAAAGUAAGCUCUGCACAUUGCUGCCAUAAUAGAUUUAAUCCUGAAAGUAGCUCGGACACACACCCAUUUGUCUUUAACUUGAGAUCCCUGGCUCCAUAUCCUACUUUUAUGAAUUCCAGUCUCCCCUUUGCUUGGGGAAUUCAGAGGAUUCGUCUCCUAGAGAGGAGCUGAGUUUAUUGCCCUUGGCUUCCUUUUUUUUCCUUCAACCAGUCCUUAGACUUUCUGAAGGAGCUGUUGAAGUUCUAAAAAUGAAGAGUAGCUUUUUGCAGAAUCUGGAGAGGGUUGAGGUGGACAGACAAGAACAUCUGGAUUUCUGAAUACCUGGAUUUUCUAAUUGCAACACAAGGAGUGUCUGUUGGGCCUCUGCAUAGGCUUUUUUAAAGUUUUUUUUUUUUUUUUUUUGUUUUUUUUUUUUUAGAGAGAGAGAGAAUUUCAAUAUUUAUUUUUCAGUCUUCGGCAGACACAACAUCCUUGUUUGUAUGUGGUGCUGAGGGUCGAACCCGGGCCGCACACAUGCCAGGCGAGCACGUUACCGCCUGAGCCACAUCCCCACACCUGCAUAGGCUUUUAAUGUUAAUUUCCUGCUUCACUAGAAGCCUUAGCCACUUCAAAACAUCCCGGUUUGCUGGCCUCUAUUUGGUACAAAUACUGCCCUGAAGAUAUUGGGGUCCUUUUCAUUAGGAAUCCCAGCAUUUACAAGGAUAUCCAAACUCAGGAGCAUCUGCAAAGGGAAAAUGAGAAAGGGUGGUGACAAAGUGCUCCAAGCUGAUGGCAGAGAUAGAAUUAUUAUUAAUGGGAAAUCAUUGAAUUUUGGUUCCAGUUAAGCGUGAAACAUUAAGCAUUCCUCUAGCGUUUCUCUCUGUGGUAUUAAAUUGACUACAAAUUGUGAUUUUUAAUGGAAAAUAUGAUGAAGCAUUCAGCUGCAGCCCAACCUACUCAGCUCAAAUUCCCUCUUCCAUUGUUUAUUUGCUAUUUUAAUACUCCAGGCUUUAGAAACAAGAAAACGGUUCUUAAAGGUUUUGGGAAAAUUUGCUAAGAAUCCAAGCUAAGUGAAUCAUCACCAUUCAAUGUCACUUUUUAAAGUUUCCACUUAGCUUUCCAUUAGGUCAGAAAAGGAAUAUUUAUAUUUUUUAGUGCAUCUCAGCUCUUUGGGUACAAGCAUGAAAUGGCUUUAUUUUUCCCAAAAAAAACUGCUUCCCAACUGUGCUGUGUCAUUCCCCUUCCCUAAUGGGUAAUAUCUUUCCUAAUAAUAUCUUAGUCUUACUUCUAGAUUGUUAUAGCUUGGAUCUGGAAUGUUCCCCCAAAGGCUUAUUUCUUGAAGACUUGUCCCCAGCUGAUGACACUACAGGGAAGUGAUUGAGACCUUUAGAGGCUGGACCUCUCUGGAAUACCUGGGUCACUGGGUAUGUGUCUUUGAAGGUUUUAUUUUGUUUCUGGACCUUUUCUCAUUUUUAUAUACUUCUUGGCAAUGAUAUGAGGAGCUCUGUUAUAUCAUGUAUCCCCUCCCAUGAUAUUCUGUCUCACAACAGGCCUAAAAGCAAAGCAGCCAGCCACCACCCAUGGACUGAAACCUGUAAAACCAUGAGUCAGAAUAAUUCUUCCCCCUUAAGUUGGUUUUUCUCAAGUCACUGUGAUAAAAAGCUGACUAACACAGAAAAUUGGUACCAGAAGUAGUAUCACUGCUGUGACUGCAAUUGAUGAUGUGGUUCAGGAGCCUUUGGAACUGGUAUGUGGGAGAAAUUUGGAAAGGUUUAGAGAUGCAGAAUAGAGAAUCCCUAAAAUGUUAUAAGAAGAACUUAAUGGACAAUUCUAAUGUGAACUCAGAAGACCAGAAUAGUGCUAUGGAUACAAACAGUAAAGGUUGUGCUCAUGAGCUUUCAGAUAAAAAGUGAGAACUCCAUUGAGAAUUGGACUAGAAGCCUUUCAUGUCACAUUAUGGCAAAGAUCAUGCCUAUAUUUUGUCCAUGCCCUGAAACUUUGUGUGAAUCUGAGUUUAAAGAUGAUGGACCAAUUAAUCUGGCAGACAAAAUUUCAAGGCUGCACAGCAUUCAGGUAGUGGCAUGGGCAUUGAUGGGUUUUUUAGACAGAUUGACUGUUGAGAAUUUAGAGUAAAAAUCAGAGCAAAAAGUUUUGAAAUUUUUACAGUUUGUCCCCAAAAGAAGCAAGUUUAAAGUUAGGGCCAAGGAAGCUGUGGUUGCCAAAGAGAUUAGCACCUCUAAAAAGAAGCCAAAUAUUUUAUACCAAGUGCCUUCAGAGCAUCUCAGAAAUUUUCCAGAUGCUAUCCCUUGCAGGUUCAAGGAUGUAAAGUUUAAAUUUGUCUUAAAGACUUUGCUUUGGAAGGGAUCACUGGGCACUCUCUUCACAUAGAGCCACCUAAGAAGUUGUUUCCCUAGGAUUCAUUUCAUCAUGCUCAAUUGUCCAGGCACUCAGAGGCCACAGCAGCCAAGAUUCAAUGGAGCCAGGCUACUGCUCAAGCAUUUGGCAGAUCUUGGUGUCAUCACAUGAUGCUAGUUUUGCAGGAAUGCAGAACACAAGAGUUAUGGGGCCACAGAUUCAUCCUCUGAGAUUUCUAAAGAAAGCUCAGGAGGCCAGGCAUUUUAUAAGAGAGCCAGAGUCCCUGAUAGGGUGAUGCUUGAAGCUAUGAGAGUAAAGGCAAAGCUUCAGUGGAGACCCCAAGAAUUUAAAGAUGCCAGAAACAGGGAGCAUCUACCAAGGUAAGCUACAAGCAGUGGCCAGACCCAGUUCAAGAGGAGAGCCAUGUGGGCUGCAGCCAGCAAGACCAUUCAGGAGGAGCUGCCCAAGCCUCCAUGAGCUCAUCUUUCCACCAUGUGCCCUGAAUGACAGACAUGGAGGUACAAGAUUUGCUUUGUUCUGAUUCUUCCUUGUUAUUCUCGUAUUUCUUCCUUUUGGAAUGGGAGUUUUAUCCUGUGCCAUUGUGGGUUAUAAGUAUGUAACUUGUUGAUUUUAAAAAAAUUUUUUACAGGAGCUCACAGCUAAGAGUUUGCCUUGAGUCUCAGAGGAGACUUUUGGACUUGGAUUUUUGAGCAAUGCUAGAACUAUUAAAAGUUUGGAAACUCUUACUGCUGGACCAAAUUCAUCUUGCUCUGUGAGAAGGGCAUGAGCAUUUGGGGUCCAGUUUUGCUCUGGAACAUCACCCCAAAGACCUAUGUGUUGAAGGCUUGCCCCCAACUGGUGGCACUACUGUGAGGUCUAAACUUUAAGAGGUGUGUCCUAGUUGGAAUAGGUGGUCACUGGAGGUGUGUUUUUGAAGGGCUUAUCUUGUCCAAGAGUCUCUUUAUCUCUGAAUCUCCUUUCUGGUCACCAUGAGAUGAGUAACUUUGCUUUACUAUGUAUUCCCCCCAUGAUAUUCUAACUCACUACAGAUCUAAAAGCAAUGGAGCUAGCUGCCCAUGAACUGAAACCUCUGAAACCAUGAGCCCCAAUACAUUUUUACUCCUUUAAGUUGUUCUUUUCAGGUAUUUAGUCACAGUGGCAGAAAGGCGACGAACACUUGAUUUUCAGUCACAUUAAAGUAUAGGGGAGUCCUAUUCUGGUAUACAGACUUUACUUGUAAAGUAUUGUCUACAUCUGAAUUAAACUUCUUUUCUCCUUUACCAGUUCUGGAGUGUGUUGUGGGCUGGGGAGAGAAGGGGUGGCUAGUUCCAGAUAAUCUCUGACUCCUAUCUGUUUCCUAGGUAAUAGUUUCUGAGAUGUUGCAUACACCAAGGAAUGAUGGACAGAUAGGACCCUGCCUGAUUUACAUAUUCUUAUCAGGAAAAGAAAAAAGUUAGAAAAUUUGCUGCAUUACUUCAGCCUCUUUGACACUCUCAUGGUCUCUUUUCUAAUUCUUUACUUGGCAACAUAAGCUACUCAGGGGGUGAUAGGCAAGGUCACCAGCAAAGAAGACAGGCAGGGAAGGGUAUGCAGUGGCAGCAUGCAUCUCACAGGCUUUCUACAUAAUUUUGAGUGAUUCUCUUGGAACUCAUCCCCUUCCGUUGCUCAUAGAAAAAGAAGCACUCUCCUGGUGGGAAGUAACAUCCUUCAAAAGGCUGGUUUCCUUUCUCUUUGUGUGCCCUGUGUUGGUCAGUGGUGAGCACUUGGCAGGGGUGGUGAUGCUGGGUUAGUUCUGUGUCUUUCAGCAAAUCCUGCAGGAAUGGCUGGAAAUGAGAUGCAUUCACUACUUCUCAUUCUUUGGUUGGGACUUAACUUUUCAUAUGAUGAGACAUGAAAAAAAUCUCAAUUAAUAGCAUCCUAAAUUUAGUUGUGACUAUAAUCUUUUGCUCCCCUGCUUCUAAGAAGAGUCUUGUUUAGAUAAGAGCAGUGUGAGUACCUCUAACCACAGCUGGGCAGCUGUAUUCUAAUCAUUCCGCUCUUAAUGGAGCUGCCUUGGUGUAGUCUUCAGUCCAAACAAGCUUUUCCGUGCAUGCUGGUUUCUUGGAUAGAUUAGAUUAACCUUUCUUUAUGUUCCUAGCUAACGUGCAUUCAGUUUCACUCAGCACCUGUCCACUGCCCCUCAUUUCCACACACAUACUCUCUCUUUCAUCAGUGAUUGCUCCAUCUCGUACCUUGAGAUGGAAUUGCUGAAGCACUAAUAAAUCCCCAUGAUUUCCAACCUAUCUUCACAUGCCCCGACUUGCAGCCUUCCCUAGAAUCCCUUUUUCAUCAGGAGAGAGCUGAUCAUUAAUCUUCCCUUUACGGACAAAUGCAGCUGAAGCCCCAGGCCCCACGGCCUGAUUCUUCCCCUUUCCUCCUGACCUUCUCUCUCAUCUUUACUUCUUCCAGUGUAUGGUGAUGAAUAAUUCAGAGGUUUGCCUUUGUUCCACCAUAGGUGUGGAUUCUCUAAACUCUUCAAGGCAGUGUUCAAGCUAAGUGUCUCUGUAUGACUCAAGAAGUUAGUAUCAAACUCGGCAUAGAGACUAAAGGUACCUUCAAAUGUUUACUCCUGACACCAGAAGUUUUAUGGUUAAAGUGACCACAAGUGACACAGAAUUCACCAAUCAGAAAAUCCAGUGCCCCAUUGGGCUUCUGUUAUCCUAGAAAUCAUAAGAGAAGAUAGAUUAUAUCAACAGAAUGAAGGGUUUAUCCUAAACCAAGUGUUCAUUUUUACUGAGUUAGACAAUGCCUUUUCAAAGAUGGAGAGUAUUUUAAAAGUGUGUUUGAUUUCAUUUUAUUCAGCAAGCACAUUAAUGAACACAGUCCUUAACCUUGAGAAUCUCCCUGCCAAGGAGGAUGGUCAAACAUCUACCCAAGUAGUUCCAGGAAAGGUCGAUGGGAUGAUGGGCAACAUCCUGAGAAGGAAGAGUUUGGGAGCAUGUGAGGAGGCCACCUGGGUUAGAACCUGGAUGGUUACUGAAGUGGGUGGUGCAGAGCCAGGGACGAGAGCCUGAGCAAAAACAAAGAAAGUAGAACUCAGGGUGCAUUUCAGGAACAGCAAUUAGUCCACUGACUUUGAAGACUGGGAGCUGAAGGAAAAAAGGGGAUUAAAGAAAUGGGGAGAGGUAAUGCUGAAGACCAGAUUUAGUUUGGAUCUGAUUAUAUAAGCAAAAAUGUGUUGCUUAAGAGUCCCGGAGGAGGAGAAAGUCCAGUUAGACAGUUAGACGUACUCACAUUUGAUUAGGACAACAACCCAAAGAGGUAGGUACUGCCCUUAUCCCUGUCCCACAAAUGAGGAAAUUGAGAGUCUAAGGAAUUUAGCCAUGCGCCAAGGAUUUGGGGCUACCUACAGACCAAGUAGAAACUGAACCCACUGCUUAUUACUCACGCAGCCUUUGACGUCAGAUAGUUUGUGCUCAGGUUUCAGGCAAGGGCAGGUGUUAGGGCUGCAGGACUUGGAGAGAUAGUAAACUAAAUUAGGGCUGCAUUUGGGAGUGCAGACAGGGAAAGAUUUCUGGAAGCACAGAGUGCUGAAGGUGGAGCGGGGAGCUUUAUGCUUUUCAUAAUGUGCCAAUGCCGGGAGCACUGGGUGCCACAGAAGUUAGAUGAAAGUGGAGUAGUGCUUCAAAGGAGUGAGAGAUUGCCUUCAUCACAGAUUAAGGAAGGCCUCAGGAAUGAGCACAGUGGCCUUUUGCUAUCUGUAUACUCUGCUGCAUCCCUACAGCCCAGAGUCAAACAUGCCAUAGACAGCCGUGCUCAGGAACUGAAUGAAUGAGGCGUGAAUGAGUGCACGUAGGAUGAAGAGGAAGAGUCAGGCUGAACGGUGUACUGUGAGGACAUAUUUCCUCUGUGUAUACUUCUCCUUUCUCCUUAGAUGUGGUCACUCCCCUCAAAGAUGUUUGCAAAUGAUUUUUUAUUGUGUUCAUUUCAAUAAACAUAUCCUACCUGGAAGACUGACUUUCUGCUAGAAGUCUUAUCUAUAGAUGUCUAUUCAGGGCUGCAAAAGUGGUAGAGCAGGAGAAGAAAGGGACUCAGAAUCAAGCAGACUUGGUCUUGACUCCUGCCACCUGAUUUUGGACAAGAGAGAUACCUCAACCUUUAUUUCUCCAUCUGUAAUAAAAGAGUGAUCAACAGCUCUUGAAAAUAACCGUCCUUAAUGUAAUAAUUAGUCUAUUUUCACCCCCACAAAAAUACAAGUACUGGGCAUGCGCACCAUGCCUGCUGAGUGUAUGCUCCAAGAUUUAGGAGGAAAGUUCAAACCCAAAGGAAAACCUGACCACCACCAUACUGGAAAACCAUUUGCUUGGUAUAAAGAAAAACUGAUCUAAAUAUGGAAUUUAAACAUUAAAAUUUCAUUCUUAGAGUGCAUGGCUGAAUUGAGUGAUGCUCUGGGAUCACUCCAUUAUGCUGUUAAAAUCUCUGCUUCAUAUUGGAGAAGUGUGUUUAAAAACUUGAUGAUCCAAGGGGAAUUUCAUAGUGGCAAAUAGCUGCAAUGGGGGGAGAAUCCUAAUGGACUGAAUGAUCUUAACAACUGCCCAUUGGACUCUUUCUAGCCAAGUCAUUGUUUCCCUGUUGUGGUGUUGCUUCUGAAAAAAAAAAAAAAGUCUGAUUGUGCUGAGAGCCAUAGCCAAAUAGGAAUGACACAUGGCAAUUUCCUUGUCAGCCUACCCAAUGUUGCUUAGAGGGAGGACUCUCCAUUGUGGAAAUGGGCUUGCCUUGGACCCAGGUCAUUUGCAGUGACAUUGCAUGAAUGUUUGAGAAAGGUGACCCUGCUCAAGGACCAGGGCGGAUCCAGGUUUAGGGCGGUUCCAGGUUUAGGGUGUGGAUCCUGCUGAGAAUAGGGCGGUUCCAGGUUUAAAGUGGAUCCUGCUGGGAAUAGGGCUUAUUCUGCUGCCUCGGGCCCCACUCCUUGAGUUCCCCUUGAGUUCUUACGGGAUUCAGAGAGUAUUUGGGAUGCAGAGCCCGGUGGAGUGUGUGGAUUUUCCCAGAACGUGCGUGUAGAGUGCCGGUGAGAGUUCAGGAAUAAAGAAUUGCUGUUUGAAUCUACAAGGCGGUGUGGUGGCCCGGUUAUUUUGUGCCCAGCCAGACUGCGGCAUGAUUGAAUUCGCUAUUGAACUUUCAUUUCCUUGGAAUAAUAAUAUAACAACAACAGUAGCAAAACAGAGCACCAAGACCCACCAUCUACUGAACAUCUUCUCAGUGUAAGUACCAGAAAAGGCACAUUUUACUUGAUUGUACUUCAUCAUCACAAAACUUUAUGUGAGAAAAAUUAUCACCUGCCUUUUAGAUAUAAAACGAUUGAAUCUUAGAAAAAUUAAAUAAACUUUUUGACAUCAUCUUCUAGUAAGUGCUAGGCCAGGAUUUGUAUCCAUAGCUAUUGAUUUGAAAGUCAUUUUGUUACCCUUCCUUUCACAGUACAGGACAUACUUACUCUUCACAACCUACAGUCCUGGAAAUUUAUUGUCAACAAAUGCAGCCGACUAUGGGCUACUACUUGUCUGCCCCACCUGAGCUCUGUAUGACCUGGAUUCAGAAUGUAGCUGGGCCUAAGAAAAAUGCUUUCCUGUAAGCAUUUUCCUGUAAAUGCUUUUCCUGUAAGCAUUCCUUACCAAUAAGGAAUGGGCUCAGAGGUACAGCCAAUCCCAUGUCCCACUGAGACCAGGAUAUGUCUUAGUUUUCAUUCAUAAAGCAAAGUGACUCUAUCUGAAGCUUGACUCCUACAUGGCUUGAUUUAUUUCAGGGAUCUUGGAAAAGACACCCAGUGGAAAAACCCUAUAGUCUAGCUAAACAUUUGUCAAUUUUGUUGUUCAUUUGUAAGAACCUACUUUUGGUUUCAUUUCAUCUCAUUUUUUUUCCAUCCUCUAUUUUAUCAAUGUCUGUUUUCACCUUUACUACUUCCUUCCUUGUUCCUGUUUGGGGUUCUGUUUGCUCUUACUUUUCUAGUCUUAGGACAUGAGGUUAGUUAUUAUUUGGGGACUUGUUUUUAAUAUAUGCAUUUAUAGCAAUAAAAUUUUCUCUAAGCAUUCUGUUCCCUUUGCCCCACAUUUGUUGAGAUUUUGUUUUUAUUCAUCUCAAAGUACUUCUAAUAUUCCUUGUGACUUCUUUGAUCUACCUAGAAUUGUGUAUUUAAUAUUCACAUAUUUGUGAAAUUUUCAAAUUUUCUCAUGUUAUUUAUUUCUAAUUCUAUUCCAUUAUGUUCAUACAGUGUACUCUGCAUAAUCACAUCUUUUCAGGUUACUGAACACUUUUUUGUGACCCAAGAAUUGUCUGUCUUGGAGAAUGCUCCAUGUGUGCUUGAGAAGAAUGUGUAUUCUGCUGCUUUAGCAUGGAUUGUUCUAUAGAAAACUACUACAUCUAGUUGGUUUAUAAUGUUUUCCAUGUCUUAUAUUUCCUUGUUAAUCUUCUGCUUAGUUCUAUCAAUUAUUGAAUUCUAUAUCUUAUUGAUAUAUAAUUCACAUUCCACAAAACACAUACAACUCAAUGGCUCUUAGUAUAAUCACUAAGUUGUGCAACCAUCACUCCUACCCAAUUACUAAAUAUUUUUAUAAUCCCCCAAAGAAACCCCAUUAGCCAUCCACUCCACCAUUCAUUCUCAGAGGCCACGUUAACCUGCAGCAUGAUUUCUAAGGGCUUGGGCCCUCACAGAUGAAUUUGAGAUUGCUUCCUUUGGCUCCAAGUCACUCCUUUUAAAAAAAAAAAAUCUCGAACAUAUUGACAAGCAAAGUAAUUAAAGGAUAAAGUAUGGACUAUUACUUAGAAUUCAGAUGUACAUUGAAAUUAGAGGUAGACAACCUGUAUUCAAAUUAAGGAGCCACGACUUGGCACUCCAUCCAUAGAACAUGCCACCUCCUCUAUUAUUUUUCUUACCCAUAGAAGGAAAUAAUGGUACCUUUACAGAAUUUUUAAGCAAAACAAGUGAAAUAUUGGGAUUUAUAAGUAAAGGUCUAUAUGGAUGUGAAUUGUUUUUCCAUAACUCCACAGGGGAGUUAUGGAGCUUGCAGUUUGCCCAAAUCCUCAAGUCUGGAAUAGAAAAUGAUAAUCUCCAGAGACAUGAGCCCAUGAAGUCCACCUUCUUCAGCUUGACCAUCUAGAUGGAAAGUGAUUGAUCCUUUUCUACAACAUCUUCAGAAGAUGGUCCCAACAUUCCUUAAGGUGUCAUUUGUAAACAGGUGUUCACCAGCCUCCAAUCCUUGCAUCACUGCUACUUCUCCGGGAUCUGGACAUGCAGUCUGCUGCUGAGCAAACCUAAUAAUCUUGACAGUGGUCAGCCCUGUGUUGUUGGGCCACAACCUUUUCCCAGAAUAAUAGCACAGGAGUGACCAGCUCAGGAAUCAUCACAAAAUAAUCUCAUAUGCCAUAACAACAUUUCCUACUGCAGUCUCAUCUCGAUUCUACCUCUGGUGGCAAACAAGAUCUGGUCAACAUCAUCAAUCAGAUUAUCUUGCUAAGAACUUAAACUCCGUAACCAAUCACCUUCACUUUUGUGGGCAAAUUAACUCAGGUUUUAUCUUACUUGAUCAGCCUACUUUUCAAUAUUGGGAUCCCCUUGGUGGCUAAAUUCCUAAUUAUAUCCAUACAAAGUUGCACUGGCUAGAAAAUAUACUAAUUACCUAAUAUUUCUUUGAUCUGCUGUGUCAGAGCCAAGGGUUGUUGUCUAAAAAGAAGAGAUUAUGAAAGAAAAUAAGUACCUUUCUCAAGGCCACUAGCUUAAUUAGUCAGUUGUGAGACAUAGAACACUGGCUCUAAUUGGUCUGCACAUUCAAAUCAUCAGGGGUGUACUUACAUUUUUGAUGCCCAGACAUGUACUACAGAUCUAUUACAUCAGAAUCUCUUGGGGGUAGAACUGAAAUCAGUAUUUUUAAAACUCUUGAUAUGACUCUAACAUACAGCCAAGAGCCAAUGAUUUAGAAAAUGAUUCUCAAACUUUGAUGCACAAUAAAUAGCAUUACUUAAGGAUGCUAAAAUGUCAAUUCUGAUUCAGGAGGACAGAAUCACGGGAGGGCUGAAAUUCUACAUUUCUAACAAGCUCUAGGGGUUGGUAAUACUACAGAUCCAUAGGCUAUACUUUGAACAGCAAGAUCAAAACAGCAUUAGUUUUGACUUUGCUGCACAUUAGAAUUCACUGAGAAGCUUAUAAAACUGUCAGUGCAUGGAUGCACCUGAUAUCAGACUAAAUUAGACUUGGCAAGAAUGGGACACUGAUAUUAGUGUUCCUUAACAUUCAUCAGAUGAUUCUACUGUUCAGUGCAUUUGUGGAGCAGUGACUGAGAAUUUCAGCCCUUCUAUCCUGGUUUCAUCCAGUGAGCAGGAAGGAUGAACCAUAGAGAAAUUAUAAUUCACAUAACAAUUUUUUUAGAAUAACACACGUCAUGUCUGAUACAUCUCUAAUUCAUCAGUCAAUCCUACCAGGUCAAUCUUGAUCCAUAUAACGAAUGCACAUACUUCCAUGACUGCCCUCCAAGAACCACCAUCAUUUCUUGCCCUAAGGAUGGGAUAGCACUUCAACUGAAACCAUCUCCACACUGAAAUGACUUGCACAUUGAAACGAACUCCCAAUGGGAAAGGCCUACUAACCAGAGUAGUCUCCCAACUGGAAUAUUCUCCCAAUAGGAACAGCUUCCUGACAUGCUUUGUCUGUCCUGCCUUCCUAUGUCCUCUAACAACAGCCAGAUUGGCCUUUUUAUAACAUUAAUUACAUCAUGAAUUAUAUCAUUAAUUAGAUCAUGAAAGGUCAUCAUGAUAUUCCAUGGAACUAAAAGAUAAUCCACAUCCUUGACCAUGACCACUAACUCUUCUUUUUUUGUUUACCCACCUAGAUCUAUCUCUUUUCAUUGGUCUCUGAGGCCAGUCUUCACUAGCUUGUCCACAUAGGUCUCCUUGCUGAGUGUGAAUAUCCCAAGAACAUCCAUUUUGGGGACCUUUGCACUUGUCACUUGUUUACAAAACUAAUCUGCACACAGUCAAUCCCUUUUUGUCAUGUAGUACAUAAGUGCCACCUCUUAUGAGAGGCUUUCUUUGUCUACUACCCUAAAAUUCCCAUUCUAUUCUUCCAGUCUCUUUGAAUCACAUCACCAUAUUUUAUGUUGUUUUUAGAUAGUAUUUAACAUAGCUGACUCAUUCCUGUGUUCAAUAAAAUGUUUACGGAGCACCUAUCAUGUUUUAAUGGCUCUUCCAGGAAAGAGUGAUAGGUACGUGGGCAAGACAGUCAAGUUCAUAGCCUUAUGGAAUUUACAGUCCAGCUAAAUUCUCACUUGUGGCCUGAAUUAUCAUAUACCAUGUUCUCUCUCUCUCUCUCUCUCUCUCUCUCUCUCCCCCCCCCCCCCCCACCCUUUUUUGGCUGCUGCCUGUCUCCCUCUGCUAGACUCCCACAUAGUAGGGAUCUUGGAAAAUUUUCCUUCACUGUGUUCUUGGUUUCUAGAAUACCCAUAACAUCAGUGAUCAAAUAAAUGUUUAAGAUUAAGUAGCUUUAAAACACUGAAAAUUCUGAGAUUGAUGAAUUCUAUCGAUCAAAGCACAAAUUUUCUUUUCUUCUUAUCCUUUAACCUCUUCUUAACUCACUUUAUCUCCUAAUGUCAAGAGCUUUUGAAUAAAAUCUAAUCCCAUGUUAUCCAAAAUAUAGACCCCAGAACAGCAUUACUAAUAUCACCUGGAACUCUUGAAAAUGCAUUCUCAGGCCCUAUCCCAGAACUACUGAACAUGCAUUUUAUGAGAUUCCCAGGGGAUUCCUAUGCACGUUAGAGUUUAACAGCAAUAGAUAUUCCAUAACCCCUUUGUUAGAGGCCAAGAGAAGGGACUCUCCCAGGAAUGAUAUGCAAUUCUUCUGACCCAUAGCAUGAAGCUUCACAAGUAUCAUAUUGGUAUUUCAGUAAGGGACUGAGACACAAAAUCUGUAACCUGAAAAGUGUCCCCAAUGGCAAAUAUUUCUGGAAGAAUCGCCCUUAGAUAGCUACCAAAUCCCAGUGUACAUGUGCCUACCACCCUUUCCUCUUACUCAACCAAGCACCUGUUGCCAAAUGACUUCCAGGUGUGAGUGGUUCCUCUCUAAAGCCAUUCCUUGAUACACAUCCAGAUCCUGUUUCCUCCACACAGAAACUCAUGUUGUCCUUUUAUUCUCAACCAUCAGGCAGUUUCCAUUCAAAACCUUUCCUUAGAGAGGGCUGUUCUCUGCUCACCUUUCAAAAGAUAACAGGUGUCCUUUGAGAAUUAAGCUGUGCAUAUGCAACUCUGAGGGCUUUGGAAAUGCAGCUCCACCAGCACAGCCCUGGCAAGCACUCUGACUGCUGUUUUCCAUACGGGUGUUAUUCUGACUCUGCAAUGCAGUAGAUUCUCUCUGCUGUCAGGGCUAACCAACUUCUGGGAUGUCACAUCCUCACCUGACUCUGUAGGAAGGCUUGUAGUAAAGCUAUUCCAUUUCUAAAGUAUGUUGCAAUAUGUGUAGCAGAUUCUAUUUCUUUGACUUAGCAGUUAAUAAAGAAGGGGGUAUUUUAAAAAGCUGCACUUUACCUUCUGUGUUCAAGCAUCUGCAUGUAGAUCCCCUGGCUCAGGCUAACCCUGAAGAUGUUACUCCCUUACGGGGCCCCAGAUAAAUUCACCUAGUCUCAUUCCAGCCUAAAAUAACUAAAAAGAUAAGAAAAAUCUAAAAUGAUAAAUAUAAAAUAAAUCACUGAAUUCUCCUCCUGAAAAAGUAAAACUGAAUCUUCUCCCAGCAAAACAGAAUUUUGAAAGGCUAUAAUUUAUACUCAAAAAUAAUGAAAAGACAUCAUUUACCUGGCCUUCAUGUUGGUGGAAGCAGCAGGGAUUUGGGAAUGAGGCAGAUUUGGGUUUGGAUCAUGUUCUGCUGCUUAUGACACUGCAACCUGGAACAUGCCACCUGAUCUCUCUGACCCCAAGGAUUCUGUGUCACUGUAGGGGACUAAUCCACUGCAAGGGGAAAUUGAACCUGCCUGAGACCUGGGGUGUGGUAGGCAUCAAUAGACACAGUAGAAUGAUUCCAACAGUUGUAAUUAUUAGUGUUCACAGCCUUCACCAGCAAUAGUAGCAGCAGCAUAUAAAUACACCAUCUACAUUCACCAGGUAAGUGGCUAUGGAUCUGGGAUUUAAAUGGACUUAAACACUGAAGGUGUGCAAGUGUAUACAUAAUAGAUGAGGAUAAUCAGUCAACAGGAAACAUUAAUUAGCAAAUUCCUAAACCAUGGCUUCACUUACAAAGUCAGUAAAGAGGACAAGCAUCUAUUGGCUCACAAGGCCGCAUGGCUGCUAAUAAUAAGAGAUGCCCCCUGUGAGCACAAACAUUCCUAGGUGUCAGUGUGGGUCAGGGUUGGGCAGACAGGACCCAGGCUGAGGCUCUGGCCUGGAUAGUACCUCAGGAUUUCAGCAGACACAAGCAGGAACAAAAUUCGGAACCCUCACACAUCAGAUGGAGCACUAAUCUCUAGUGUAUAUAAAGAACUCAAAAAGCUAAACACCAAAAAAAAAAAAAACAAAUAACCUUAUCAACAAAUGGGCCAAGGACAUGAGCAGACACUUCUCAGAAGAGGAUAUUCAAUCAAUCAACAAAUAUAUGAAAAAAUGUUCAUCAUCUCUAGCAAUCAUAGAAAUGCAAAUCAAAACUACUCUAAGAUACCAUCUCACUCCAGUCAGAAUGGUAGCUAUUAUGAAGACAAACAACAAUUUGUAGGUAAAUAGGUGGAGUUGGAGAAGAUAAUGCUAAGUGAAGUUAGCCAAUCCCCCCAAAAAACAAAUGCCAAAUGUUUUCUCUGAUAUAAGGAGGCCGAUUCAUAGUGGGGUAAGGAGGGGGAGCAUGGUGCCAUUUCCAGUCUCAGGGAUCAUUCUUAGGCUUUUUCCCUUUAAUAAAAGCUUGUCUCAAGAUGGGAUAUCAUAUCAAUUAUAAGCAACUCACAGAUUGGAACAAAUCUCAGAAAGUAAACCGUAAUGCAUGACAUAGAGUAACUUAGAAAACAUCUCUGGGGAAUUACCUGGAAAGAAAAAAAAAGUUCUGUAAAAGAAGCCUUUUUGUCCUAAGGUGUUGGGGCCUAUACUUGCCACAGAGCUGCGGGUGUGUGAGGAAACAGCCUUGUGACUCUGGUCUUGUGAUAUUUCUGUGUACGUGGCGAUUUGAGUUUGAGAAAUGGCUUCCGUAUAUGUGCCUGUACAGUUAUGAGAUAUGGCUUCCGCAAACGUAGCAGGAUAUUAGAAUAAAUCCCCAGCAACAGGGACGUGCAUAUUUCUUAUUGGGUCCCAUCUCAUCUCUCCUCUACUUCCUACUUUCCUCUGCUAUAAAAGUCACCCCCCCACAUAAUAAAGUUGAGCUGCUGUGCCAUCACAGCUGACUCAACUCCCGACUCGGUGUGAUUUUUGGCCAGGUGAGGUGCCAGGGGCCGGGUCGAGACACUCAUCAUCUCGUUCAGCCCCGGAGACACUAGCUGGUCUAGUGCUCUCCCCUAAUCUCUGUCAGAGGGCGGUUCCGACACUGAGGAAGGAAUUUGGGCUGCAGCUAGGAAAGAGGCUGGGGAAGCCCCUCUUGGAGCAUCUCAAAGUGUCCAAAAUGGGCAGUUCCUCAUGCAAUAUCAGUGUUUUCAUUGUCACCACUGACAACUAUACCCUGGUGCCAGGGACUUCACAAAUGUCAUCCAUGAUCCUCGCAGUAACCCAGCAAGACAGCUCAUCUUCCCAACACUUUCAGUCUCAACUUCAGGGCUUCUUGAUCCCUAGGCUAUUCUAGAACAUUCUAAAAACACCUCACAUUAUUCCCCCACAGCCUUUUUCAGAUCACAUAAUUAUUUGGACCGUGAUGUCUUCUUCUUCUUCUUCCCUGGAUUCCAAGACCAUAGGAUAAGAACCAUGUCUUCUUCAUGCUUAUCUUCUACUCUUCAGCAACCUGAAAAAUGCCUCUAUCAUAGCUAUUCAAUAAAUAUUGUGACUCAUGAAUGACUGAAAUGAGUGAACAUCACUUAACUAUUUCUGAACCCACUUUAUCAAUGAGGAGACUUAGGCUUGGCAUGAAAGUUCAGCUCAAGGUCAAGAUCUAGUUUUAGUAGCUUAAGGACAGCUGAGCCAGUUCUCCCAGGUGCGUCGGCCUCCAGAGCUCCCUCUUGUCCACUCCACACUGAGCCUGGCUCAGCGCUGGGCAGGAACACACUUGCUAGUGGAGUCUGAGGCAUCUGUCUACUUCUUCCUCCUGAUCCUUCCACGUACAAUCUAGUGUCUUUUGAUCUCUGCCCUGGACUCUUGCUAAUUGGAUUUGCCAGGGCAUCGUCACAUCAAGAGUCAGUCACGAAGUCACUCUCUCUGCUGCUGUUUUUCUGGCAAAGAUAAGGACUCAUAACAAAUUUUUUAAAAUGAAAAGAGACUAAGGUCAAGAGUAGUUGUAGAACGCAUAUCUAAGAGGCCCCAUCAAAGCAGAAAACCAUGUGUGGCUUGACGGUGACUUAUGUCACACAUAAGCAGCAAUGACAGAAGAGUUCUGAAUGGUUGAGAGGAAAACCCAGAGUCUUGGAGGCCAUGGGGCAAAGGGUGAGAGCCUGAGGUGCUGGUGAGGGGACCUGAGCCCCCAGGUCCUCAUUGGGCAUGAUGACAAAACCCACUAAGCAUGAUUGCUCCAAGGGCUAAGUCAUAUAUUAUAUUUGGAAAAUGAUUGCAAAAGCCUUCAUGAGUAUGAAAAGUUGAAGGCUGACAAAUAAAGAUUGAGAAGCGAACAUCUUAUUUCCUUGGACAGGCUGACCUCACAAGAACCUCACAAAAGUAUAUAUAUUUUAUGACAUUUGAAUACCUGGGAACAGGGAAGUUAUCUCAGAGUAGGGAAGUCGUACCUUUGUAUGCAGGAAACAUUUUAGGUUUGAAUUCUGCAGACUGUGCCUAUUCAAGAAAACAAUCCUCAGGGAAUCCAUCAGACUCAUCCAUAGCUCAAGGAGCAGCUUUAAAGUUGUUGGCGUCAUUUGCAGCACAAACUUAGAUUAAGCAAUUUAUAGGCAGGAGAGAAUGUCUAAUUUGCACAUAACUGAUGGCAGGAAGAUGAAAGAUGAGUUCAUAAUAUUUCGGCUGACUCUGCAAUACAGCUUGGAGCCUUUUUUCUAAUUUCCUUCAAAAUUCAAAGAAAGAGAAAUACAAGCAGAACAAUUUCACUGCCUAAGGAUGGGACUCUGCCCUGUGCUCCAAGCCCUAUCCAAUUUGCUCCUAUCCUCCCAGUUCAGUCUCACCUGGAACAGGGCCAUGGUGGAAUUUGCUUUCCAGGGUAUCUCACAGCACCCCCGUGUCUACCCAGCUCUGGACUCUCCUUUUACUCAUGAAUUUACUGCACUUCAUUCACAGGUGCUGGGUACUGGGCGAUUCUGGGAAAUGUGACCUCAGAGAUGACAUCACCCACAGCCGACUACUGUGACAUGUGCCUCUCCCCAGUUUCCAUCAUUUGAUGUCCUGCUCCUCUUUCCCAAACAUUGCUAUUUCUUGAUUUCUCUUCUGAACCCUGUAAUCAGGCACAACUUUCCUCCUUGCUUUGUGACUCACUGAAUAGCUGUCAUCUAUUAAAAUUCUGUAGCAAUUCCUAGGGUGGGUGCAAUACUUUAACAAGUGGUGUGGGCUAAAUGCUCUGGACAAGUCACCUGGCUUAAUUUUCAAAAUAACACUAUGAAGUAGAUAGUAUCAUUAAGCUCAGACUUACAUAAGAUCACACAGAGCUGGAGGUGCAAUGUGUCCAAGGUCACUCAGCUGUGUGUGAUGAAGAGGGCUUCAAACCCAGGCAGUCUGGCUUCAAACCCAGACCAAUGCAAUUGGGCACAUCAUCUACCUCCACACUUGAUCUCAGCCAUUUUUCUCUAGGCUGUGACUUUCAUGAAAGCAGGGUUUGUCUCAUUCACCUCUCAUUCUACCCUGCCUACCACCCACUAACCCCUGUCAAGUGGGAUAGGUAAUGAGUCUGUAUUUGUUGGAUUAAAAUGAAUUCCAUAGAUACCCAGUUUAAAUUUAUGACCUUUUGGAUUCUUAUACCACAUCAGCUCACUUUGUACUUCAACAUUUUUGCAGUUUCAUUUGCAUAAACUCUUGGUGUUUGUGUCUCCAGAUGUCUUAUCACGCUACAGAGCUGGCUGAGUUUACUUUGACUCAUUCAGCGGCUGUUACAGGAAGUGGGCAGGGAAUUCGAUUUGUCCAAGAGGCUGAAAAGCAUUUUAGAGGAUGGAUGGAUCAACUAAGAAGGCUCCUGGGCUUUGCCAGGAGGACACAACUCAGGAAAUGCUUUGAACAGAGGUCCCUGCAGACUCAUCCUUCUUAGCCAGAGGCCACCUGGAAUGGUUACCUCUGUCCUCACAUCACAAGGUCCAGGCUGCAGGAUCCAACCUAAAAAUUCAGCCACAUUUUCUCUCUUAGCAAUUCUGGAGAAACUUUUUUGCUAGGAGUCAUAAGUCUGAUUGCAGCAGAGUAACUAGGGCAUUGAUCUUGUAAUAGUGCCUGAUCUCUAGUCAAGGCGUUCACUGAGACAAAAAUGUGUAGCUCCCAAUGACAAUAAGUCCACACAGACCUCAGGAAACUGAAGGGGAUAAGUGUGAGGGGCCUGACAGCACUGCUCUUAGGAUUUAAGCAGAAUAAAGCAAAAGACAGCCAUUUAUCCUGUAAUUUGUAGCUAUGGUUUUGGUCUCUAGUGUCCCCAAAAUGCUCAUUGAGUAUUAAAGGCUUGGUCCUCAGUGAGGUGAUACUAGGAGGUAGUGGAAGUUUCAAAGUUUUUUCACGUCCUAGCAUGAGGUGAGUGCUUUUGCCCUACUACAAGCCCCAACCAUGAUGUACAGGAUUGCAAGAGCAAUGGGACCAGUGGGUCAUAGACCGAAAUUCCCUAAACUGAGCAAAAAUAAGUCUUUAUUCUUUAUAAACUGAUUAUCUCAGGUAUUUUCUUAUAGUGCCAGAAAGAUAUCUAAUAUGUUUGGUAAAAAAAAAAAAAAGUGUGUUUUCUCAUUUACUGGAUUAAAUUUCUUAAAGACAUAAAAAUUAUUUGGUACUUUGUGAUCUGAAUAGGUAGGCAGUAAUAGCAUGACUAUGACUAUAAACCUCAUCAACUGUGACAUCAUAGUUUUCAAGGUCAAAGGAAUUGGCAAUGAAAUUGGGACACUGACUACCAGUUUCCCAGUACUGAACCCAUAUCUUAUUCACUUCCAGCAAGGGGUGGCUUCUCAGGAAGCCCAAAUAUAGAAAAAAAUUCCAAUACCAAGGAAACAGGUGAAUAAAUUUUGAUAUACUCAUUGAAAUAUUGCACAUUAGAUGCAUAAACUACUACAACACAUGACAACAUAAAGAAAUGUUUCUGCCACAGUAUUCAAUGAACAAUGUGAUGAACAAAAGAGCACGUACUCAAUGAUUCCAUUUCUGUGAAGCUCAUGAAUGUCCCGAACUCUUCUAAGCAGAAUGCACUCAGUGGAAGGAAUAUUGAAGCAAUAGGCUUGUUCUGUAACUACAUUAUUUCCCAUUUGAAUAUUUUGCAUGUGAUUUCCCUCCCCCAGCCCCAAGUGCCUGGUGGGCACCUGCUCAUCCUUUAACACUUAGCUCAGUGACGACAUUCAGAAAAGCUUCCUUUACCUACCACAGAGGACCUCUGGUAACUGGAUACCGGACACUAGUAACAUGUUUCCUCUGGAGAAAUGGAGUGGAUUUAUGAGCACAAUGGCUAGUAAAGAAUCCUACUGCUACUGGAUACUCUUGCUGAAUGGGUUACCAUUUAAAAUAGAACUUAGGACAAAAAAAUAAGUAAAGGCAACAGUUAGGAACCUGAGUUAGCAGUUUACCACAGUUUGGAAUAAAGGGAUAAAUGUUGGAUAACCUCCCACCCCCAGGAGCUUUCUCCCUCCCACCCACCACAACCCAGAGGGCACUAUUUCUUUCUAAAGAAGGCAAUAGCAAGUGAAGAGAGACUUCUUUUAAAAACUCUACAAUCUGGUCAGAGCAAGGCCCUUACUUCAUGAACAGAGCUGAUGAAAUGUAAAAUAUACAAAUAACAGAAUUGACUUUAUUACCCAGACUAAAACUUGACUGGACCAAAUGUCCCAAGAUGGAAACCCUUUUACUUGCUUUCUGGGGUCCCUCAGGCCUCUUCUGCGUGAUGAUAUCCCUCUAGAAGGAGAUAUGGAGAAUUAUUAUAAAACAUCAUGCUUUUCACCUUGAAAUCAAAGGAUUUGACUUUGGAAAGCUUGGAACAUUUUUACAAAACAGGAUCCAGAAUUGAUUAUGGAUAGCAUAAAUUUAAUGUUACCAUAAACUGAAAACCACAGCUAAGAUGCUGCAUUCUAGAAUCUUAAAAUCCUCCAGUCUACUCUUAAAUUGCUCUCAUAACAAAUGUGAACUGGUGAGAUAUUUAUGACACAUUCAAUCUGUACAUGACAUGAAAAUAAUACAUAGUUCUAAUUCUAUUCCAUUUACCCUCUAAUAAAUUAUAAGUAGGAAGAAACUGCAACGAAAGGAUGGAUCUCAAGUUUCACAAAAGGCUAUGGUUCAAGCCACAUUUCUAAUAUUUUGUAAUGUGAUAUUUAGCCCAUCACUAAAUUUUCUAAAUCUUAACUUCAUCCUUCACUGUAAAGCAGAUUUUUUUUGAGAAUUGCCAAAAUUUGCAGUCGAAAAGCAUCAAAUAUACAGUUAGUGUUCAAUAAAAUCUUUCAUGUCCUUUGUGUUUUUUUCCUUAUGGUAUAUUAUUAGUAUGGCUUACAGAAAUCAUAAAACUAUUACCUCUCACGUCUCCAACAAAGCAGCAGAACACGAAUCAGUUAAAGAGUCAAUAUGAUGUAGUUGUUGAACUUUAGUAUAGAAAAAGCCACAAAUAAAAUAUUCUCAGUUACUUUGGGAGAAUUUACCUGUCUUUAUGAGUUCUGAUUUUGUUUAUAAGAGUGAUAAUAAGUCAUCUCUUUUUGUUUUGGACUAAAUAUCCGUGUUUCCUCAAAAGUCAUAUGUUGAAAUCCUGACUGACCGAUGGGAUGGUAUGGGGAAGUAGAGCAUGUUGGAGACAAUUCAGUGAUGAAGGUAUAGACCUCUUGUUGGGAUCAGUGCCAUUUUUAAAGAGCCUUGGAGAGCUCUGUACCCCUUAGCCCUCCCUCUGCCAUGUAAGGACACAAUGAGAAAUCGGCAGUGGAAACCUGAAGGGGGCCUUCACCAGAACAAGACAAGCUGGCAUCCUGAUUUCAGACCUCCCACCUCCAGAACUGCAAGAAAUUAAUGCCUCUUGCUGAUGAGCCGCCUGGGCUCAGUGCAUUGUUUUGUGUCCAGACUGGCUGAGACACCUUCUUACAGGCAAUGUAAGGAUUCGUGUAGCAACUGCUUAGGAUCCUCCUUAAUUGGAGUAGUCACUGAAAAAGCAAUUGCUUUACUUCUUCAUUCCUUUAAAAAUAAGUACAUUUUCUAUUUUCAAAUAUAACUUUCUGAAAUUUGUUGAGAUAAUUGGAGAAAAUCAUCAGAAGAAGGAACAUAAAACAAAAGGACAAGCACUAAGCUGUAGUGUGCAUUCCUUGAUUCUGUUUUCCAAACCAGGAGCACCAUCAGCAAACCCUCCUGUGGACCCAGCUGCACUUGGCAACUUGUCAGUUGUCAAAUGUCACCUUGACAGUCCUCCCGGCCCUCAGGGCUUUGUGGAUUCCAGGUAAGAUGUGGUUUUCCCCAUUCUUUUUGUCUAGUUGACUUCUUCAAAACAUAGACCUCUCUCUGAUUUGACCCCUUUAAUUGAUCUGGGCUUCAGGCCAGCUCCCCAGUGCUUUCUGACUAACCCAGCAACUCAGGCCUUGGAAUCUACAGCAGGUAAGGCCCUAGGCAUGUACGCUAGAAAACGUGUUCACAGUCAGAGCUAAGCUGUAUACCCUCAAAAAUGUCCAUGUUGGAAUCCUGACACCCAGGAACCUCAGAAUGUCAUUUUAUUUGGGAAUAGGGAUGUUACAGAUAGAAUUUUUUAAGAUGAGAUCAUACUGGAUAAAGGUGAAUUUUAAUCUUAGCUUGGGCCACUGGAACACAUUAUCACAGAAUGAAUAGCGAUAUUUUUUUUUCUGAAGAAAAUAAAGUUUUAAUUUUAUUUUAAAAAGAUAUUAUACUACUGUCCCUUGAGUCUUUACUAUGUAGAGAUGAAUUAUAUUAAAUAGAUUUAUUUUCUUUUUUUUUUAAUUUUUUUUAAUUUUUUAUUGUUGGCUGUUCAAAACAUUACAUAGUUCUUGAUAUAUCAUAUUUCACACUUUGAUUCAAGUGGGUUAUGAGCUCCCAUUUUUACCCCAUAUACAGAUUGCAGAAUUACAUCAGUUACACAUCCAUUGAUUUACAUAUUGCCAUACUACUGUCUGUUGUGUUCUGCUGCCUUUCCUAUCCUCUACUAGCCCCNCCAAGAAAUCUCCAUACUGCUUUCCAAAUUGGCUGCACCAAUUUGCAGUCCCACCAGCAAUGUACAAGUGUACCCUUUUCCCCACAUCCUCGCCAGCACUUGUUGUUGUUUGACUUCAUAAUGGCUGCCAAUCUAACUGGAGUGAGAUGGUAUCUUAGGGUGAUUUCUCUCAGCUCUGGAGAUUGGAAAGUCCAAGAUCAAGUUGGCAGCGGGUCAGAUGUCUGGUAAUGGGCUGCUUCCUGCUUCACAAAUACUGGCUUUCCCUUUGUCUUCUCACUCAGAGGAGCACAAAGACAGGGAAAAGGCUCUUCUAACUCUCCUUACGAGGUUGCCAAUCCCAUUCAUAAGGGCUCCACCCAUAUAUCCUAAUUACUUCCCAAAAUAGGAGUGAGGGAGUUAGGAUUUCUAUGCACAUUCUGGAGUAGCACAGACAUUUAGGCCAUAUCAACACUUACCUAACAACAACAGUAAGAAUCACCACACAAUGAGAGAGGAGUACAGGGGAAGAGAACACUAUGGAUAUGCUUGGUGUCAUGCUGCCUGCAGCCAGCCACUAUCAGAAACUAGGAGAAACUUGGAACAAAUCCUUCCCCAGGGUUUCAGCAGAAUCAUGGCCCAAAUGACACAUGGAUUUCAAACUUUCUGACUUCCAGAAUUGUGACAUGAUAAGUUUUUAUUGUUUUAAGCCACCCAGUUCCAUAUCACCUUGUUGUGGAAGCCCUAGCAAACCCAAACUGGCUGAUAAUCAAUAUGUUCUUUUAUAGCCACCAGUUGUCCAGAUUAUUGAUUUUUCUGAUUGGUACAUAGAUGGUGCAUCACUAUUCUGAGUCCUCCAGACAACUCUGGCCUCCCUGCCCACUCAGACUCUUGGGAUGCCUGGACUUUGCCUAUGAUACAAAAUUAAAGCCAACUACAUCUUUAAAGCUACAACCACCUACUCAGACUGGAUUCCCUGUUUCCUGCAAGAAAGUUUGAAGAACAUACCCAUUCUCCUCAACCUACUGUUAUCUCACUGCUUCUUAUGAUCACACUAUUUUCACAUGGUAAAUAUUUACCACCUAGUUCUCCAGCGAAGAAGGCAAAUUAUUUGUUACAUUUGGAGACUGGGAAAUCUGUACCCCUUAGCCCUCUCUCCACCAUGUAAGCAAAUCCUCUGCCUGGUGAUCUGCUUUCUGGGUUUCAGGUGGCUGCCUAAUGAAAAACCGUCAUCCCUACAGGCCUAAAAUAAUACCGGUCGAGGGGGAACAAAUGCAAACUACAGUUUUAAUAUGGACCCUGACUUCCCAAGGAGAUUAUGUUUCAGAACCUGUAUUUGUGCAUUUCAGUUACCAUGGAUACAAGCAGCCAUGUGGGUAAGUAGCUAGCUGUUAGGUAGUAGUCAGAGGAGACCUAUGAUUACCCUAGAUCUCAGCUGAUUCAAGGAAUAAUAAGAUAUCCUCUAUCUGAUACUCAACUAUUCAAGGUAACAUCCAGAGUAGUUUACUUUAUUCCAAUAACACUAUUAAGUCACAUUUGUUGCAUUAAUGAAUGAAUUGUUUAUUUAAUGGAUAUGUACUGAGGGUCUGAGUGUGAGCGUAUGGUACACAAUCAGGAAGGGAUAUCAAAGUACACAAAACAAUCAGGAAGGGAAGUCAAAGUCAAAUAUAUAUAUAGCUUUAUUCUCCAAGGAUCUCAUUCUAGUUCAGAAGGCAGGUAUCCAUUAUGGUAAAUUUUAAAAGAGAUAAAUUUUCUAAACUACAAAAGGAACCAUUCUUGGUAGAACAGAAUCAAGAUGGAAAAGGCUACACAAAACGAAGUGGGUGGAAGCUGAGUCCUAAAUGGUGGGUGGGCUUGGGAGGGUGGGCUUUGAAGAUAAAGAGCACCGUUAGCAUUGAAAGAAGGGGGCAUGGAAAAUACAGAGUCAUGAAACAUCACGAACGCUAGGAGACUGCUAAGAAUAAUUCUCUUUCAAACAGACAGUUCUGGCAUUAUGGAAAGUACUAACGAAUAAAGCCUCCAGAGUUUGAGAAUCUUAGUCAUAGGAACAGGGUCAAAAUCUGGAAAGAGCUCCUCAGCAUGGGAGCAAACUAUGACAAAAUCCACAACUCCACAUCUUUAGAAAUAGUGACAUCAUUGUCAGAGCAAAAACCUAGCAAGUUAAACAUUUCAAAUGACAUUAAGUUUACUCAUUUCACAAACAGAUUUCAAUAGUCUUUGGAGGACACCCCAGAAGAAUAAAUAUCAACUGAGAAUGAGAAAACAACUACUCCCCCCAAAAAUACCACAUCCAGUUACUAGAGCACUCUGAGAAAAUGUGCACAUAUACGGUCCCUCCACAAUGUCCCUCUAGUCACUGAAAUCAGCCAAGGUUUCUAGUCUACUGUUUGUAAAGGUAAUGACACUAGAAAGCAUCUCUUCAAAACCCUUACGUAUCAAAAGCUGUCUUCAUCAAGUUGAUAGUUUCUGCUCAUUUAAAAAUUUUGUUCAUGGAAUUAUCUAUUUCUAAAAGCCCAAGUGGAAAACAAGAUAUCUAUGUAUUUUCACUUUGCUGGUGGUUAAUUAAACAGAUGGUGACUUCCUUAUCCUGUGACACUUCUGUAUGAUGAACAAGAUAAAUAAGUUAAUCAGAACACAGUUUGUAUAAUUAAAAUACAUAUGUUAUUUAGACAUAAGGAGCAGAAACAUUAUUAUAAUAGGCUUCAAACUGAAAAUCAAAUGAAGAUAUUAAGUAGAAUUACAAAAGAGUUGAAACAUGUCCAGAAACUCCGAUAAUUUUCCAAAGCUGACAAACAAUGGCCAAUAGGUAUAUAUAGAAAGGUACUCAACAUCAAUAGUCAUCAGGAAAUGCGAAUCAAAACCACAGUGAGAUAUUACCUCACACCUGUUAGGAUCUAUCAGCAAAAAGACAAGUGAUGACAAGUGUCAGGUACAGGGGAGAGAAAGGGAGAUCUUGUCCACUCCUGGUGGCACCGCAAACUGAUCCAGUCAUUAUGGGAAACAGUGUAGAGAUGCCUCAGAAAAUGAGAACUAGAACCCUAUGACUCGGGACAUGUAUUCUGAGUACAUAUCCAAAGGAUCCAAAGGAAAUGAAACCCGUACCUUAAAGAGCUAUGUGCACGCCCAUGUUCAUUGCAACAUGAUUCCCAAUAGAUAAGACAGAAAGAAUCUGAGCAUCCAUCAACAGAUAGAUCAAUAAUGAAAUUACUAUGUUAAAUAUUAUUCAGUGCUAAAUAUUAUUCAGCCUAAAAAAGAAGGAGAUUCUGCUAUUAGUGAUAACAUAGACAUACUUAAAGGAAAUUAUGCUAAGUGAAAUGAACAGGAAGACAGAUCACAUGAUAUCAUUAAUAUGGAAUUUUAAAAGGUCUAACUUAGAAAAAUUGAGUACAAUGGUGUUUGCCAGAUAACAGAAGGAGUGGUAGAUUUGGGAAGAUCUGUAAAAGGGUAAAACCCCUCAGUUAUAACAUGAAUAAGUUCCAGAUAUCUAUAGUGCAACAGGGUAACUUCAGCUAAUAAUAGUGUCUUUCAUACCUGAAAUCUGGGGAGACAGUAAAUCUUAAGUAUCACAAUACCUACAAAAAAUGACAAGUGAAGUACUGAAUUUGUUAAGUCACUUGAUUGUGCAAAUCAUUAUACAAGAAUACUUAUGUCAAAACACCAUGUAGUACACCUUAAAUAUAUACAAGUUUCGAUUUGUCGAUCAUACCUCAAUAAAGCUGGAGAAAACAAAAAUCAAAUAAAAUACUGGAAGGAGUCUGUUCUUGUAAGAAUGGGGGCCAUGAGUCUCACUAAUGGAAGAUUUUGAUAGUCCUUAUACAUUUCUGCAAAGACACAGAAAAGCAUCAAUAUAUGCAAUUUAAAUCUUCUGUACAACAAAUCCAUCACAUCAUCUGCUUUACCGCAAAGAAAAAUAAAGCUGCAUCUGAACUCUACUUUCUAUUACAUUUUAACACAUCUGAGAGCUUGUCUUACUCUGAAGCACUGUUUAAUCUCUAGAAAUUGAUUUAUCUAUCUGGCUUUCAGAAACCCACUCACCUUUGAAAUUCAAAUGAAGCACGCCUGUAUAAAUGCAUGAGCUUCUUUCUACAAAUCUUCUCUUUUUGCCGGGUGUCUUGAGAGAGCAGAGGGGACACCUGGGAAGCCUAUUGCUUUGCUUUUGCCCUCCCCAUUUCACGGGGUUUUGGUAAGAUUAGAAAUCACAUGUUAAGUGUUGGCACAUAUAAAUGGUCAAUAAAGCUGCUACUGUGAUGUUAGCACUUUGGAGCUGCACCUUGAAUUGUGUUUCUACAGAAGAAAAUGAUUAAAGAAAAUUUUUGAUUUAAAAAUAAGUACACAGCUCUUCUUCCAUUAAAAACCUGACUUUCUUCUCAAGUUACAAAUAAUGCCCUCAUCGAUUUUUGGUUUCUGCAAUGAUAAGAUUUUAUGCUUAGAAAAGGAUUUAUUGUAAGGCUUAGUCUUCUAGAGCUCUUACUGGCACAGGUCCCUUAUGGCUCUGAAAUAGGAAAACAAUGCAUUUCAUAAAGUUUGCUGAAUGAAUGUGUUUUAGCAGCAGAGAGUUAAGAUCAUUGACUUCUGUCUUUAUCUCUGUCCCCCAUGUCACAUAUGGAGUAGGAAAUUAAAUUUGAAAUACAUUUAGUUUGCUUUUAGAGAAGCAAACUUGAUGUUCCCAAUUGCUUCUGUGCAUGGUCACAACAGGUUACUGUUAUCUAAGGAAUGGAUUCCAGGGAUACAAUGCCAACUGGCCCCAUGUCUUGACUUGAAGGUAGAGGGCAGAGUUUGUAUAACAGAAUUAAAUGGAAAUGAAGGAGAGGCAAAGGUUGAAAUUUACAGAGGUGGAAGUUUGACAGCAGAACAUUUUCCCAAAUCUUAUCUCUUAUGGAUAAAAAUGCAUGAGAGGAAUUGUCCUAAAUUUAACAAUGAUCUAAAAAAUUGAAAUGCAUUAUUAAAAUUAUUAAAUUAAUAAAAUUAUUAGAGAUCUAUAAUUUUUAAACUCAGUUAACUAUUUAACUGAAAAAUGAAUAUGAUUUUUAUUCUUUCUAUAGAUAACAUUCUAAGAUAGUAUCAUAAGAAAGGAUAAUCAAAUAGUACUUACCUAUAUGAAGAAAGGAAAAAUAAAACAGAGGUAGGUAGUUAAUAACAAAUAUGAUAGACCUCAACUUUAAACCUUUGUACUGUCAUCUGUAGUUUUCAUUCUGAAUUAAUAUUCAUUUUAUCUCUUACUUUACAUGUCUCUUGCAAGGAAGAUCUCACAAAAUAGAUAAGCUUCAAACCAUAAAAAUCUGUAUCGGCCAAUCCCUGACCCCACAUUCACUAAGAUCUGGAAAUGUCUGUGUAUACACAGCCUUGGGCAGGCAGUUCAGUUGGCUUUUAACUAUCCUCCCCACCUCCAGCAUCUAUCAGUAGAGAAAGGGAACCAGGAAUAAAAUGGAGGUUAAAUGUCACUUUUGUUAAUGGCAAUAACUCUUUAAUUAGAGGGCUUUGAAGCAUGGAAUUAAGACCUGGAGCCAACCUGGGCUUCCGGUCUUUUCCCUCAUGGGAGGCAACAUGAUUUACUGACCAGUGACAAUUAGAGUGUAUGGGAAAGAGCGGGACUCUUUCCCAAACCAAAGAGCCUAUUCCAUGGUUUUAUUUUCAUGCAAAGUGGAAACCCAUUGCUAUGGUUUAAAUAUCUCUGAGGCUCCAUGUGCUGAAACUCAAUUCCCACUGUGACAUAUUAAGAAGGUAGAAACAACCCGAUCCCAGAGUUCAUAAAGGGAAUAUGUGGGGGGGAGGGAUUGGGAUUUGAUAACAUCACUAGGUGUAGCCCCCAUGACUGUAUCCUGAUGGCUAUGUAGAAGGAGAGAGAAAGAGAGCAGAAGAGACACAUGUGCAACCCAUGAAUGCCCUCUGUCUCACCUUGGCUGUCUGCCAGCAGGAAGGCUGUCCCAGACGCAGCCCCUCAACCUUCAACCUUCAGAGUUGUGAGACCAAAUAAGCCUCUUUUUGUUAAAACUUACCCAGUCUGGGCCAUUCUAUUAUUAGUGACAGAAAAUAAACUAAUAUUUCCAUCUAUCCAAAGCAUCUGGGCACACAGAGUUCAAAGAUUUCAAAAAAGUAAUAGGGAAUCCACCACCACAGUGUCUUCUAAAUUAAAUCACACUGGGAUGGAAGAGGGGAUGGAGAAGAAGGAGCAAAUGUUUCUUCAAAUAUCCUUCUCCCUGAGUGUUCCUUCCUAUAGAAAAUGAGCAAAGAGUAAUGGCAGUAAAAGAUUUCUCACUGUCAAAGGGUCCUGAGUCUGAUUUAAAUAAAAUACCCAUUUUUAAAAAAUUGAUAGCCAAACACAGUAAAAGCUAAUAAGUAUAUUGACCUUACAGAUGACAUGUAUAUAUUAACUGUUAACCUAACUUCUUAGAGGCCUUCUUAAUCUUAGAAUAAACAUAUACAUUCUUUGGCCUUAUGAAAAUUUCCCCAAAGCCAAUAAUAAAUCAAUUGCUAUAAAGCAAUUAUUUUUCAAUAAAUGAAUAACCUAGAACUGCCACUAAGAUUCAGUUUGCUUCAGUGAAUCAUACAAUUCCAGGAAAUUGAUUUGUGCAAUUUUUCGUUGUGUGUGUGUGGCGGGGGAGGAGUAUAUAUUUGUAGUAUGAAAAGGAGCAUAUUUUGAUGUAUUUGAAACUAUCACGAAGGAGAAAUAACCUACAACUUGUAAGCAAGAAGACUAUAAGAUUUUAACUACAUUCUCCCUGGACUUUCACAGAUGCAACCACCAAAAAAAAAAAAAGCCCAGAACUCAUCCAGUUCAAGUCUGUAGUAUGGCUCAAGAUUGGACUCUUAAGGUAAAAUUUCCCAAAGAACACCUUUUCUCAGUUCCAGUAUCUGAUAAAAUAAUUUUCCACUGUCAAAUAAUUUUAGAAAAUUCUGCAGAUAUUGAUAUUUUCAUGUGCAUUAGCAUAAAGUAGGCUCUACAACAUAAUGCAGUAUAUAGUACUAUUUUUACCUUUGUAGCUCACUGUAAAAACCUUUAAGCAUAGUGUCUCUGACAUGUAAAUGCUCCUUGAAGGCAACUUGUGAAAGGUUCAAAGAAGUUCUUAAGAAGAGACCUACAGCACAGUGCCAGCAGUUAGCCCUGUCAGGACUCUGAUGCCAGAUGUCCUCUUAUAAUGUGGUGACUCUGUUGUUUGGAGCUCUGUAGUGAACAGGCACACCAGAAUCCUUUAAGGUAGAAUGUGAUACAGAGGAUGAGGAGGAUGAAUGGGGCUUAAGGUGUGAUGCUUUUUAAUAAAACUUUUAUCAAUAAAGAAUAAAAAUCUAUUUGUUUGGGUUGGGAUUGUGGCUCAGCGGUAUAGUGCUCACCUAGCAUUUGCAAGGCACUGGGUUCAAUCCUCAGCACCACAUAAUUAAUUAAUUAAAUAAAAAUAUUGUGUCCAGCUACAACUUUUACACACACACACACACACACAGAAAGAGAGAGAAAAAUUUUAAAAAUCUAUUUGUUCAAGUAGAGUCAGAAAAUCAAGUAGAGUCAGAAAUUCAUUCACUAUAAAUAGAAGCUCGGUACCAUGAUACUGUGUAGGAAAAGAUGGUGGCAAGUUUGAAGCUUGUUCUAAAAGGACUUAGGUUUGGUUGGGGAAAUAACACAAAUACAUAUAAUUAAAAACAAAAGGCAUUCUAAGUAAAUUUAAAAAUAAGGUAGAGGACUGCUCUGCCAACCAGUAGACCUAUACCAGACCCCAGUCCCAUGCUAGGACCACGCUGCCCAACCGCAUGAGAGCCAAGGUCCAGGUCCUAGCCCAGGAUCACCCAUGCCCACCAGCAGACCCACGACAGAACCCAAGCCUAUUCCACCUCUAUCUUGGGACCCUGCAACCAUUGCCAUAGCCCUCCCCACACAGUAGCCUUCACCUCGGGAAAACAGAUAGGGCAUCUCGGAACAGGCAGCCCAAAGCCAUUGUAAGGUCUACCCUUUCAGCCCCAUCUCUGAAAGUGGUUGCAUACAUCUUGGGACACCCCCACUACUAUUUUCAGUUAUCUUCGCUAUUGCCACCACCACCUUUAGUUGCAGUAACACUUAUCAUGGGACACCAAAGUAAGGUACAGGUGAUCUGCAGGAACACUGUAAGAUUAUACAAUAGAAACUGUUAUACCUCAUAUCUGCACUGCAAGAAAGGAAGACAUGUAGACAACAUGAGUAAAUAAGGGAGGAAAGUGCCCUAAGCAAACCAAGAUACUACAAUAAUAUAAUCCAUGAAUAAAUAGCACAGUUGGUAAAAUGUUAGAGAAGGAGUUCAGAAUGCACAUAAUUCAAAUGAUCUAUGAAUUAAAGAAUGACCUAUGUGAGCAAAUACAGGCAAAAAUUGAUCACUGCAACAAACAGCUAAGAGAACACAUACAGGCAACCAUUGAUCAUACUAACAAAGAGUUAAAGGAGCAAAUACAGGUAGCAAAAGACUAUUUCAAGAAGGAGACAGAUAUUCUGAAAAAAUAAAAAACCAAUCAGAAAUUCUUGAAAUGGAAGAAACAAUAAACAAAAUAAAAAACUCAAUAGGAAGCAUCACCAACAGACUAGAUCACUUGGAAGACAGAACAUCAAAUAAUGAAGACAAAAUAUACAAUCUUGAAAAUAAAGUUGAUCAUACAAUGAAGAUGGUAAUAAACCAUGAACAGAAUGUCCAAGAAUUAUGGGAUAACAUCAAAAGACCAAAUUUAAGAUUUAUUGUGUAGAGGAAGGCUCACAGGUUCAAACCAAAGGAAUGCACAAUCUCUUCAAUAAAAUAAUAUCAAAAAAUUUCCCAAGCAUAAGGAAUGAAUAGGAAAAUCAAUUACAAGAGGCUUAGAGGACACCAAAUGUAAAAAAUUACAACAGAUCUACACUUAGACACAUUAUAAUGAAAACGCCUAGCAUACAGAAUAAAGAUAGAAUUUUUAAAGCCACAAGAGAAAGGAAUCAAAUCACAUAUAGGGGGAAACCAAUUAGGUUAUCUGCAGAGUUUUCAACCCAGACCCUGAGAGCUAGAAAAUCCUGGAACAACAUAUACCAAGCUCUGAAAGAAAAUGGAUGCCAACCAAGAAUCAUAUAUCCAGCAAAAUUAAGCUUUAGGUUUGAUGAUGAAAUAAAAACUUUCCAUGAUAAGCAAAAGUUAAAACAAUUUACAACUAGAAAGCCUGCCCUAAAGAACAUCUUCAGCAAAAUAUUCCUAGAGAAGAAAAUAAAAAGCAAUAAUGAAAAUCAGCAAAAAGAGGUAUUACACUGAAGAAAAAACCAAUAAAAGAAGAAACCAACUCAAGUUAAAUACCAAAAAUAAACAAAAAUGGCUAGGAAUACAAAUCAUGUCUCAACAAUAACCCUAAAUGUUAGUGGCCUAAACUCAUCAAUCAGAAGACAUAUACCAGCAGAUUGGAUUAAAAAAAAAACCCAACAAUAUGCUGCCUUCAAGAGACUCAUUUCAUAGGAAAAGACAUCCACAGACUGAAGGUGAAAGGUUGGGAAAAAAUAUACCACUCACAUGAGCUGUAGAAGAAAGCAGGUCUUUCCAUCCUCAUAUCAAAUAAAGUAGGCUUCAAGCUAAAGUUAAUAAAAAAGGAUAAAGAAUGACAUUUCAUACUGUUUAAGGAAACCACACACCAAGACAUAACAAUUACAAAUUUGUAUGUCCCUAAAAUGGAGUAUCUACAUUCAUCAAACAAACUCUUCUCAAGUUCAAGAGUCAAAUAGAUGACAGCAAAAUAAUUCUGGGUGUCUUUAACACAUCUCUUUCACCACUGGAUAGAUCUUCCAAAGGAAAGUAAACAAAGAAACUAUAGAACUCAAUAAUACAAUCAAUAACUUAAACAUAUAUAGAAUAUUUCAUGCAACAAUGAGUGAAUACACUUUCUUCUCAGCCGUACAUGGAUCCUUCUCUAAAAUAGACCAUAUAUUAUUCCACAAAGCAACUCUUAGCAAAUAUAGAAAGUAGAGAUACUACCCUGUAUUCCAUCAGAUUACAGUGGAAUAAAAUUAGAAAUCAAUGGUAAAAUAAAAAAAUAGAAGCAACUCCAACACAUGGAGACUAAAUAAUAUGCUGUUGAAUGAACAAUGGGAUGCAAAAGAUGUCAAAGAACAGAUUAAAAAAUUCUUAGAGGUAAAUGAGAACACCAAUAAAACAGAUCAAAAAUCUCUGGGACACUAUAAAGGCAGUACUAAGAGGAAAGUUCAUUGCAAGUAGUUCAUUCCUUAAAACAAGAAAAAACAAAACAAAUAAAUGACCUUACACUACAUCUCAAAGCCCUACAAAAAGAGAAAAACAAAUCAACACCAAAAAUAGAAGGUAGGAAAUAAUUAAAAUCAGAGGUAAAAUCAAUAGAAUUGAAACAAAAGAAACAAUUUUAAAAAUUGACAAACAAAAAGUUGGUUCUUCGAAAAAAUAAAUAAAAUUGAUAAACCCUUAGCCAGGCUAAUGAAGAAAAGGAGAAAGAAAACUCAAACUACUAACAUCUGUGAUGAAAAAGGAAGUAUCACAGCAGACAGUACAGAAAUACAGAAGACAAUUAGAAACUAUUUUGAAAAUCUGUACUCCAGUAAAAUAGAAAAUAUCAAAGGCAUCAUCAAACUUCUAGAGUCAUAUGAUUUGCCCAAACGGAAUCAGGAUGAUAUACACAAGUUAAACAGAUCAAUUUUCAUUGAAAUAGAAGAUGUCAUCAGAAGCCUACCAACCAAGAAAAGCCCAGGACCAGAUGGAUACACAGUUGAGUUCCACAAGACCUUCAAGGAAGAACUAACACCAAUACUCCUCAAAUUAUUUCAUGAAAUAGAAAAAGAGGGAACACUUCCAAACUCAUUCUAUGAAGCCAGUAUCACCCUGAUUCCAAAACCAAAGACACAUCAAAGAAAGAAAAUUACAGACCAAUAUCUCUAAUGAACAUAGAUGCAAAAAUUUUAAAUAAAUUUCUGGCUAAUUGAAUUCAAAAACAUAUUAAAAAGAUAGUGCACCAUGAUCAAGUGGGAUUCAUCCCAGGGAUGUAAGGUUGGCUCAACAUAUGGCAAUCAAUAAAUGUAGUUCAUCACAUCAAUAGACUUAAACAUAAAAAUCAUAUGAUCAUCUCAAUAGAUGCAGAAAAAACAUUAAAUAAAUACAGCAUCCCUUUAUGUUAAAAACAUUAAAAAAAAAUAGGGAUAACAGGAACAUUUCAACAUUGAAAAAACUAUUUAUGCUAAGCCCCAGACCAAUAUCAUUCUAAAUGGAGAAAAAUUGAAAGCAUUCCCUCUAAAAACUGGAACAAGACAGAGAUGUCCUCUUUCACUACUUCUAUUUAACAUAGUUCUUGAAACUCUAGCCAGAGCAAUUAGAAAGAAGAAAGAAAUUAAACGCAUACAGGUCGGAAAAGAAAAAUUCAAACUAUCACUAUUUGAUGACAGCAUGAUUCUAUACCUAGAAGAUCCAAAAAAUUCCACCAGAAAACUUCUAGAACUAAUAAAUGAAUUUAGCAAAGCAGCAAUUACAUUUCUAUCCAUAAGUGAUGAAUCCACUGAAAGAGAAAUUAAGAAAAGUACCUCAUUCAAAAUAGCCUCAAAAAAUAUAAAAUACUUGGGAAUCAAUCUAACAAAAGAGGUGAAAGACCCCUACAACAAAAACUACAGAACACUAAAGAAGGAAGUUGAAGAAGACCUUAGAAGAUGAAAAGAUCUCCCAUGCUCUUGGAUAGGCAGAAUUAAUACUGUCAAAAUGGCCAAACUACCAAAAGCACUAUAGAGACUUAAUGCAAUCCCAAUCAAAAUCCCAAUGACAUUCCUCACUGAAAUAGAAAAAGUACUCAUGAAAGUCAUCUGGAAAAGUAAGAGACACAGAAUAGCUAAAGCAAUCCUUAGCAACCAGACCUUAAACUAUACUACAGAGCAAGAGUAACAAAAAUGGCAUGGUAUUGGCACCAAAAUAGACUUGUAGACCAAUGGUACAAAAUGGAGGACACAGAGACAAACCCACAUAAAUACAGUUAUCUCAAACUAGACAAAGGCGCCAAAAACAUACAUUUGGAGAAAAGAUAGCCUUUUCAACAAAUGGUGCUGAGAAACUGUAAAUCCAUAUGCAGCAAAAUGAAAUUAAAUCCCUACUUCUCACAAAAUUCAACUCAAAGUGGAUCAAGGACCUAGGAAUUAAACCAGACACCCUGCGUUUAAUAGAAUCAAAAGUAGGCCCAAAUCUUCAUCAUGUCGAAUUAGGUCCUGACUUCCUUAGUAAAACUCCUAUAGCUCAAGAAAUAAAAUCAAGAAUCAAUAAAUGAAUUGGAUUCAAAUUUAAAAUCGUCUUCUCAGCAAAAGAAACAAUCAGUGAGGUGAAUAGAGAGCCUACAGAAUGGGACCAAAUUUUUACCACUCACACAUCAGAUGGAGCACUAAUCUCUAGGGCAUAUAAAGAACACAAAAACCUUAACCCCCCCCCCCCAAAAAAAAAAAAAACAACGAAAAAAACAAAACAAAACAAAAAAACAACCCAAUCAGUAAAUGUGCCAAGGAACUGAACAGACCAUCUCUCAGAAGAGGAUAUACAAUCAAUCAACAAAUAUGUGAAAAAAUGUUCAACAUCUCUAGCAAUUAGAGAAUUGCCAAUCAAAACUACUCUAAGAUUUCAUCUCACUCCAGUCAGAAUGGCAGUUAUUAAGAAUAAAAACAACAAUAAGUGCUGGCAAAAAAUGUGGGGAGAAAGGCAAAUUCAUAUAUUGCUGGUGGGACUGCAAAUUGGUGCACUCAAUAUGGAAAGCAGUAUGGAGAUUCUUUGGAAAACUGGGAAUGAAACCACCAUUUGAUCCAGCUAUCCCACUCCUUGGUUUAUACCCAAAGGACUUAAAAACAGUAUGCUACAGUAAUACAGCCACAUCAAUGUUUAUAGUAACACAAUUCACAAUAGCAAAAUUGUAUAACCAACCUAGAUGCCCUUCAGUAGAUGAAUGGAUAAAGAAAUGUGGUAUAUAUAUAUACACAAUGGAAUAUUAUUCAGCAUUAAAGGAGAAUAAAAUCAUGGCAUUUGCAAGUAAAUGGAUGGAGUUGGAGAAUAUUAUGCUACAUAAAGUAAACUAAUCCCCAAAAAACAAAUGCAGAAUAUUUUCUCUGAUAUGAGAAUGCUGAUUCAUAAUGGGGAUUGAGGGGUAGCAUGGGAGAAACGGAGGAACUUUAGAUAGGGCAAAGGGGAGGGAGGAAAAAGGAGGGGGCAUGAGGGUAGAAAAGAUGGUGGAAUUAGAUGGACAUCAUUAUCCUAAGUACUGUAUGAAGACAUGCAUGGUGUGACUCUGUGAACAACUAGAGACAUGGAAUUCAUAAUUGUGCUCUAUAUGUGUACUAUAAAUUGAAAUGCAUUCUAUUGUCAUGUAUAACAAAUUAGAAUAAAUAAAUAAAUACUUAAAAAUACAAAAAAAUUAUAAGGUAGAGUGUUGUAGCUAUUGGAAUUUGUAGGUAUUUCCCCAUGUGCAGUCAUGGUAAUUUAGGUCUUCUAAGGAUGAGUAAACUGAGAAUGGAUGAAUGGAGGGAUGGAUGGAUAGCUGGAAGGAUGGAUGGAUGGAUGGAUAGAUAGAUAAAACCGCAAAAUUCAGAAAUAACAAGAGCUAGAUAAGGAAAUGAUGGUAUAUCAGGAUAAUUGGAAUAAAAACACCACCAAUCAUACCUGAAAGGAAAGAAUUUCAAACAAGAUCUGCCAGGUCCUAAACACAACAAAAUUAAAAAGGCAAAAAAAAAAAAAAGAAUAAUUCUUAUUCUAAAAGCCCAAACACUUAGGAAAAUAGGCCCAGUUUUUUCAAUUCAUUAAGCAACUACAGUUUUGAGCCCUUGGGAAUUAAGUAGGUGUUGAGUAUAUCAUGUAAACAUACAUUUCCUUAGACACAGGAACUCAAACUAUGGAUGGGAGGAGGAGGAAAUGGACAUGUAUACAAACUAUUCCAAUAAAAAGACAGUGAUUUGAUCUUAAUAUAACUCAAACACAAAAUCUGUAGAGUACAAAGGAGUGAGUCUAAUUGACCGUGAUAUUCUGUAAAGAUUAUAUAAAGGAAAUGUUAUUUAGUCCAAGUGUUCAAGAAUGAAUAAGAGUAAAUGAGGCAGAGAACAAAGAAAAAAUUCCAGGAAGUUCAUAUCAAUAAGCAGAGGAGAGGUGAUAUGAGAAUGGAUGGGUGAGCAAAGAAUGCUAAACAGAGAUGGAGGCUCUAUGUGAUGCAAGUAGCCAUGGAUUAGCCUUAAAAAAUGCUCUGGGGAAAACUGUGAAGGACCUUGACUGCUAUAUUGACAAAGGAUUCAUGUAGAAGACCAUCGUGAUUAAGUCUAUUUUCGAAGAAAUAUUUUUAAAUCAUGCUCUCUGGGCUUUACAAAGUCCAUUCAAAACCAAUUCAUAGAGGAGAAAGGCAGAGGAAAAUAAAAGGGUCCUCAUCUUCAAAUUCCAAAUCCCCAAGUCAAUCUGAUCUGAGUAGCUCUGCUGUGAAUCUCACUAUGUAGGCUUCUGCUUGUUUAGGAUUUGGUUUAAAAAAAGACAUCCAUGACUCAAAAAAAAAAAAAAAAAAGGUUUUUAACUAUAGAUUUGGAAAUGUAACUCUGAUUGUUAAGGAGAUGUGUGAGAAAGACAGGGAUACUUCCAGCAGAUGCAAUAAUCCAGCCAAGAUAUGAUGAAAUUAUUAGAGAAAUCGGCACAAGUAGAAAUGUGGGAACCUCAAAAAAUAUCCCAGAGUAAUAAUAAGCAGAAACUGGCUCAUUCUGACUGUGAAAAUGAGGGCUGAGUGGAUAUAUAGUGAUGACUUCAAGGUUGAUGUUCAGGGGUAUGGGAAGAAAAUGGUAUCAUUCACUGAGAAAAACAUCAUAUGCUAAAAGGAAAAUAAGCAAUUGGACCUGUAUAAUUUUAUAUAAUCUGAUUUUAGUUUUAUGUCUUGCAACUGGAUAAAAAUAUAUGGUUGGAUGUCUCAGGAGACAGCCAUGGCCUGAGACUAUUGGCUAUUCAACUGCAGAAAAAUAGAGAUAAUCCCCCAGUGUAAGCCCCCAAAGAAAAAUUAUUAACAAUAAGAGAAAUAUUAAGAUUUUAAUAUUAUCUAGGUAUUUCAUUUAUCCUAGUAAACAUUCUAGUUUCAUAUGCAUCAUUUUAUUUGAAUUGCAUAAGAAUCCUAUGAGUAAAGAAUAUCACCGUUGUAGAGUAGAAUAAUGUAGCAAUUAAUAUCUAGAGCUGAAAUACCUAUAUUCAAAUCUUGGCUCAGCUGUUCACUGUUUUAUAUAAUUUGGGUCAAAUUAUUUAACCUCUCUGUAUUUCAAGUUCCUGAUAAUAAUCCCUAUGGCUAUGAUAAGAAGUGAAUUAAUGCAUAUAAAGUGUUCAUAAUGGUGCCUGGCACACAGCAAGUAUUCAAUAAAUAUGAGCAAUUACUUUUCACCUCACUUUGCAGAUCAUGAAAUGAAAGCUAAGUAAUAGAGACAUUAAAUAUCUACUAAAGGACACCCCUCUAAAUAAAUGGCCAGUGUUGUCAAUGCACACGCCCUCACUCAGCCUUUAUGUUAGCCUCAUCCAUGUGGAUGAGAGAAAAAUGUCAGGGCUGGAAACUUGAAAAAUGCCUAGUUAAGCAGACUAGUUUAUAAGACUGCAUGAUGAAAAAAUAAUGCAACUAAACUACUGCAAGAAAGGAGGAUGGAGUGGUCAAUGAUUUCAAAAACAUCUAAAAGUUUUUUUUUUUUUUUUUAAGUAAUAGGAAGAGGCUGCUAGAUUCAGCAAUCAGAAAUGUUCAGGAUCCAUUGAAGGGAUGCUUUAGGCAGCCCAUGUAGGGCAGACACCAAGCACAAACAUUUAAGAAUGGCUGCACAGGAGGGAAAUGAGAACAGUAGCUGUACAGGUAUAAAUGGAGAAAGAAUGGCAAACCAACAAGAAAACUAAAGGCAAUUUUUCAUAGAAUGGGGAAAUUUUAGCCAUUUUUUUAUGUAGAGAUAGCAACCACUGAUGAGAGAGAGGUUGAAGCUCUUAGGAAGGGGCUGAUCAAUGAACCAAGACCGAGGAGGAUGUAGGAGUCCAUUGGAAAGAGACCACAGUGGUACCUGUUAGCCUUAGAGGGAGGGAAAAAAAAGACUCAGUUUACUUCAAGUCAAGAGACUCCAUUUGUGUGAAGAAUGCUUGUAAGCACACAGAAAAGGGCUCUCUUGGGACCUGGAAGAAGAGUGAAAAUUUAUCCACAGGGGUAAGAGAGAGUUUGGCAGAAUGACUAUGCAGGCCCUGCUGAUGUCAGAGGAAAACAAGUGGUUAAACAACUUGAACAAGGAAAUGGACGAUGUAUAAAUCUCCCAUCCACAGAAUAAGCUAAGGGGAGUCAAGUGAUAUAAACAGCCCUCGCCAAUGGGAAUGGUGCUUUGGGUUUUCAGGUAUUCCAGAGAGCUCAAGCGCAUUUGCAUAAGGGACAGCACGAGAAUGUGGGCAAGUGGGUACACAAAGCAGGUCCCAGGAGGGCUUGUGGAGGUCACAGGUAUCACGGCAUCACUUCCAGACAUUCCAUUAAAGUCACAUCUACAGAACUGAGAUCCAAAUUCUGACUCUACCACUAACAACUUCACUGACUAACCUGGUGAAAAUGUGUUUCCUCCCUUUGGGUUUCAAUAUCCUUACCAAUAAAAUGAGACUAACCUAGAAACCCUCUAAUGGCCACUUCACUGUAAGAUUGCAUGAGUCUAUAUUAUAAAUAGUAACGUACACUGUCUUCCUUCUCCAUUUCCCAUGCCUAUAGGAAUCUGCUCCUAAGCUGACAUUAAAAGGAUGUAUUAGUUAGAGCUCUCAGGAUUCAGGCAAGCCUCGCUGACCCAAGGCAGGUGUGCAGCAAGGCUUCAAAAAGAGCUGCUUCAAUCUUAUCUCUCUCUGCAGCUUUCUCUGUUAUUUCAUCUCCAUGGAGAGAGAUGAAUUCACUGUGGUUCCAGAGGUUUAUGUGAUCACAUCGGAGGAUGCUGUAGAAUCUUUGCGUCCCUAUUCCAAUAGGCUCAGAUGGGUUUAGCAGUCUCUUCCAAUUCAGUUCACUCCAGACAAUUUCAUUAUAUAGGUGCAUAUACUUCUGGAGGCUCACAUCAUGCUUCAGGGAAAGUAGUCCCAAGCUGCGCAAAAAACACAAUGUUUGGUGGAAACAUUGUAAGUGUUUCUACCAAAUGGUCACCAACACAAGCAGUGUCAGAGGUGGCGGGUACAUUCUUGACUGUCUGUUCUCAGUGCCUCCUCUGCUAAUUUAGUCUUGAAAACAGAAAAUUGUUUUGUUGUGAUAGAAAAUAAGACAUACUAAAGAGCUACACAAACUCUCUUAUAGCUUCCCUAUUUUCCUAUAAGGUAGAGGGGGGCACACUCUUUCAGUCACCUGUGAUCUUCCUUUCUUCCAUUACCCCUUUCAAGGCAUGUAGGUGAGGCAUGUGACUGAGAGGCCUUGCACCUUUUUUUUCUUAAAGAGAGAGUGAGAGAGAGAGGGAGAGAGAGAGAAUUUUUUUAAUAUUUAUUUUUUUAGAUUUCGGUGGAUACAACAUCUUUGUUUGUAUGUGGUGCUGAGGAUCGAACCCGGGCCGCCCGCAUGCCAGGCGAGCGCACUACCGAUUAAGCCACAUCCCCAGCCCAAGGCCUUGCACCUUUAAUAAAUAUAUUGCUGGUCAAAUCUGGGCUUCUUACUACCCAAGGAGUCACACUUUGAGAUGAUACUCAGGAGGCAGAAUGAGGAACCAUUUUUGAAAUUGGAAUAAAUUGUCAAUAUAGUAUGACGUGGAGCCCAGAUUACAUGGUUCAUACUGUGGGGCUAGUGCUUGAAGAGCCCAACAGGACUCUUAGGGCAAUUCGUCACAUUGAUGACCAUAGAUACUCAAUAUUUUAAAAGUUGAAUCUGAUUUCAUGACAUGAUUUCAUGUGUUUGUCUUCCCCCAGCCUUAUUACCCUACCAAGAGAAAAGUAAGUCAAUUCCUAGUCUAAUGAUUUCAGUUCAUUAAUAAAUAUUGUUCCCAGUGGAUUUAGUGAAUUAUUUCACUUGUUUUACAUGCCUCCCUACCUAAAGUGGAAGCCCAGGCACAAGAAAAUGCCUUGUAAAUAGGUUUUCUCAUCAAUAGAUUGAAGUUCAAUCAUUGACAUAUCCAUUAAGCAAAUGUGAACUUACUUCAAAUUGAAAUUGCAAUCACAAAUUUCAUUCACUCUAAGAGGUAAAUGAAUUGAACUCAGAAAAGUACUGCACAUCAACACAAAUAAAUUAGAAAUGUUCAUUCAGAAUUGUUGGUUUGAAAAGUGAUGUGUGUUAAAAUAAAUUAACCAAAUUAAAACUGGAAGGAAGACAUGUUGAAAGAGCACAUCUGUUUUUCAGUGAAGUCAUGGUAAUCAGGAAAAGAAUCAUUGAUUUUCACAAAACAAAUAUUGCCUUAAAAGAGAGUAACAAUUCCAUUGUGGAUGACCACUGGAGAGCUUACACAGAAGAUAAGAUCGAUCCAUGCUACAUCAUUAUUGUGCUCUUUGUUAUUAAUAAAAAAAAUCAUGUAAAAGCAAGCCAUAGUCAAAAAGCAGCAUGAAACCACUUUGUUAAAAAGUCUCCAUUAUAAUCUCAAUACAAUGUAAGUUCACACUAAGUCACCUUUACGAAAGUCUAGAUUCCGAACUGUGUAAAAACCAUGUUAAAAUGUAGCUGACAUAUGCCUUAAAUAAUGAACAUUAGAAAUUAUUUAAUAGCAAAUACAAUAAUCAUGGCUUGCAAUGUGACGUUUUUUCUCCAUAUUGCUAUGACACUACUGAAGCAAAAGUCAAAUAUCUAGGAUCAUCAGAAUAUUAAUUCAUAUUUCAGUAAUGAAUAAGGAUUAAUCUUCCCAACGCACCAGUAACCAUAAAAUAGCCUGUUUAAAACAUUUUCAUGACCAAAAUGUGCAAAGUGGUGCACACCUAUAAUCCCCGUGGCUCAGGGGGAUGAGGCAGGAGGUGUUCAAGUUCAAGGCCCAGCCUGGGCAAUUUACCAAACUCCUGACACGAAAUAAAAAAUGAAAAGUGCUGGGGAUGCAUCCCAUUAGUAGAAUGCCCUGGGUUCAAUCUCUAGUACAGGAAAAAAAAAAAUGAAGAAAACCCCUCAGUUCUUGAUAACUUAGGAUAUGACUCUUUAAUUGUUUCUAUGUUUUUAUGACAUUCACAAUGUCUGUACAAGGUCAGAUAAAACUAAUUAGAUAAUACCUGGCCAAUAUGAUAUGAAUGCUACUCACCACAUGAAAAUCCCUCCAUUUUGACCCAUUUACACACUCCAACUCAACCGCCAUUCAAACUGGCCAGAAAGAAACUACCUUCAUGCUCUUUGGAAAUACAGGACUUUAAGUCUGUUAUGAGAAAGGAAAAAAAUGUGCAGUUGGAAGGCUCAGGUAAGCAUAUAAAAUAUAUUUUUUAAUACUUGGACAUAGGAGCAAAAAAUCAGUAAAAUAUCUUCUGUAGUGGGAUCUUCUCUCCUGCAUUAGUAACUUUUGGUAUAAGAAUCUGGAGUUAAGGGUCAGAUGAGGUUAACUUGCCCUCAGUGUCUAUAUGUCUAUCUAUAUUAUAUCCAGCUAGCUAGAAAUCUAAAUAAAAUGGUACCUGGAGGGAAUUCCUUAACCCAGAAUAGCAAACCACAAAUAAAAUAAAACUGCAGACAUCUUUUGAAGUCAGAAUAUAUACGUUUUACUAUGCAAUACAACAAAACUGGGCAUUUACUGUAUUUACUAUCAAAUUCUUCAUCACUAUGAAUCCAAUACCCAUACUUAGCUCAAAAAUUUAAAGAGAGAAAUCAACAGUUUGGGCCCAGGUAUAUUUUCUAAAAGAAUGUUUAAUUUUAUACUUGAAAAUUGAAAUGAAUGCCUAUUAUUUUUGUACACAAUCUAUGGGUUAUAAAGAUAAACAAAUAUCUUGGUUUCUGAAGCUUUCCUAAAGGAGGCCAUCAUUUCUUCUACCACAUCACCCAUAAAACUGCUGACCGCUCUCACGGAGCAGCCUGGAGCUGGCGAGCCAUGCUGAACCCUCCUGCGCCUCCUCCUGUGUCUGCACUGUCCUUGUUUGUCAGCUGCAUCAUCUGUGUUCUGCUCAGUUCCUACAGUCUUUGGAUGGGGAACAAGGAGAUUCCCCUUCUGGUUAGGAAACCCAAACGCCAUCAAGGUCAAUAAUGAAAGUCAAUCCUGACUCAGACAGCAACCUGACAGUCUCCGAGAAUAUGACUGCCCAGGGCAUCGUGCUUCAUCAGGCCCCUCUCUGAGACCACGUGGGCUGCAUGCCAACUGAGGAGAAAUGUCAGCACUUGUAAAAUAUAAGAAAGCUGAGCCCCAGGUAACUGGCUGGGGAUGUUUCUUCCUCAGAUGCUCACCUGAAACACCAGAGUCCAAGGACAGAGAUUGGUAGCAAUGUGUGCAAUGGUCCCUACUCUCCAACUGCCUCCUGUUCAGCUGGUUUGGAGCAACCCAGACACUCCAAGAUGGAAGAAGGGCUGACACAGAGGUAGAAACUUUCAUUCAGUGGUAGUGACUAAUUGGGUAAGGAUUAGAUAGGAUGAAAAUUUGAGUUGUUUUCAUGUCCACGUAGUUAAAAUCCUCUGUGACCUACUUCUCAGAUUUUGAUAAUCCCAACAUGUGGGUUGUAAUUAUGAAAAUCUGAAUUUAGCUUUUACGUAAAUCUUUGGCUGCACAACUUUUCUUAUAGUAGGAUUUUUUUCUAUUAAAUACUAAAAAUGCUAAGAGAUAGGUGUCAGCUCUCAUCACCACCACACAUUACCACUGUCAGUCAAAGCCACCAGAUCAGGUUUUGCCUGACCUGCUUUAGUUGAUAAUGAUGGCUGUGAAUUCAAAUCACGUUACAGUGUGGCUGAGUGCACUUGUCUCUAUAUUCCACAGUAGCACAUCUGAUCUGUGAGCAAAGGAAGGUACCAUGUCUGUUACUCAAUAAGUUAUUAUGAAAAUUAUUAAAUAAUGUGCAAAAUCUUUUGAUGAAUAACACCAAGAGGGUAAAACCCUCAGAGUAAAACAUCCCUAAUAAUUACACCUAAUAUGUUUCUGAUUUUUAAUGCUUCAUAUUAGUAAGUCCUUAGUGACAAUGUGUUAUAAAUAGAUGAACAGAUGGCAACCAUGUCAAGUUAGGUAUAAAAAUGAUUGAGAGCUGCUGGUGGUGUCGCUCAGUGGUAUAGUGCUUGCCUAGCAAUUGUGAGGCCCUAGGUUCAAUCCUCAGCCCACAUAAAAGUAAAUAAAUAAGUUAAAGGUAUUGUGUCCAACUACAACUAAAAAUAAACAUUAAAAAAUGUCCAAGAACUUGAAAAAAGAGAAACCAUGAUUGUUUUACGAAAGUGGGAUUCUGGGUGAGUUUUUCCUUCUUAAAAAUACCAUUCUGUAUUAUUAUUGAAGCAGUCAGUUUCAAUAAUAACCACAAUUUCAGUUGGCAUUGAAUUCAGUUCAUCGAAGAUUGAUGAGUGAGACUGUGCCUAUCCCUUAGAAACACACACAAACAUUUAAGCCAUGGUCAAUGUCCUUGAAAACCACAAUGUGCCUUAGAAAGUAGGGCACAUGCAUGAAAUGGAGAAGUUUCAAGCAGAUCAUGACUUAACACAAUGCUCAAAUGAGCAAGGUAGAGAAGUGCUGCAAGAAAAAGCCUCCGCUUGUGCUUCAGGAAAAUCUAUAGAGCCCUAAACACAUGAGAGUGAAGCAUUGGCUUUGCCUACUGCAGCAAUUAGAAGCCAGAGCUGAAAUCAAUGCGGCAGCCACUGGAGCAGUCUGCAGCUCUGAGGCUGCAGCUACUUACAGCCAUCGAUUUUCCCUGGCUUUGGGGCUUGGUUCACCUCACUCUUUCCACCUCGUCCCCCUGUGCCUCCCAGGUGUCAGGCACAGGUCACUGCUUCCAUGAAAAUUACCCAAGGAUCAUUAUUAGGCUGUAAAUCCACAAAGACCGUGGAAAGGGUCACAAACAGUUUCUAGCAACCACUAACUGUUGCUCCUAUGUCACUGCUUUUGCUGACACAUAACUCAUUCUUUCUUAGAGCAUUCAAGAAAUGGUUCUUCCUCUUAAUCCUGAAGUCCAAAUCUCCACAUUCAGGGUGGCUCCAAAUGACAUUUUCCCUUCAUCUCUUAUCACAGUAUCCUUUGUCUCAAAACUUCCUCCCAUAAGUUUAGUCCUAUCAGUCUUCUUGGCCUCCCCUGAGUAAUCUCCCUAUUCUCAGCCCACAGAGUUCCACUCAUGCCUUUCCUUCUCCCUCUAAGUCCUUUAAGACCUUGUUCAAGGGCUGCCUACCCAAGCCACCCAUCCACACUAGUCCUGUUCCUCUCUCCAACAGUCUACUCCACCCUCAUAGCAUAACAUUAAAUAUUUUCUUAAGUAUGUCUCACUUAAUUGAUUAUGAGUAUCCAGAAAAUCACUCACAUCGUGCCCAACACAGAGCCUUGCGUUGUGUACUAGGCAGCCAGAUGGAAAUGAGUCAAACUAAUGUGGCAUUGUGCAAAGAGCAAAGAUAACUUAUAUGAACAUGAGAAUUAUAGCACUAACAGGCACAGUCCAAAAUCCAAGGUGCUGGGCUGGGGAUGUGGCUCAAGUGGUAGCGCGCUCGCCUGGCAUGCGUGCAGCCCGGGUUCGAUCCUCAGCACCACAUACCAACAAAGAUGUUGUGUCCGCCGAAAACUAAAAAAUAAAUAUUAAAAAAAUUCUCUCUCUCUCUCUCUCUCUCUCUCUCUAAAAAAAAAAAAAAAGACUUUAUUCCCUCAAAUUUACUCCUAAAGUUAAAAACUCCACCCCUGAAACCUUAUCCCUGCCUUUGAUGUACCCCCUUAAAUAAACCACCGGGAGCCAUUUCCUAAUUGCUGUCCCUACAAGAGUUUCUCCAUAUCUUUAGGACCUUGAGUUUAAAAAAAAAAAAAAAAAAAAACAAAAUCCAAGGUGCUUAUUUGUAGCCAUACCUGGAAGGUAGUUCUUCACUUGAUUUUGCAAAGAUAAUAAAGGUUAUUAGUUGAAAAAAAAAUUAAAAACUACAUUCUGAAGCUUCUGGAAGAAAGCUUCUACGAGUAUCUUAUGUGGUUAAUGACAAAAGUUGAAAAAGACAAGCAUGCGAUUCUGAGGUCACUAUCCAAUGCUUCACCAAGAGGAAAGCUGGUCUGGACCAGGACCCCUGCUUGUUUGCUUCUGUUACUGACUACUUUCGUGAUGCUUAGGCUUUGCGUAUCAACUCAGGGACAGGCUACAGAGAGCUGCCGGGCUGCAAAUGGUUCUCGAGAUUGUGUUUCUCGUGCAUUAUCUGAGAAGUUUUAAUAAAAAUCUGAUUAAAGGAUUCUGCCUGGUCUCCACAGGCCAGUGGGCAUUCAUAGGAGGGAGCACAAAGUGUAAUGUGCUUCCCUCCCUCAGAGCUGCGAUGAGAGCAGCAGCCAGCCAUGGACUGCCUAGCAGCUUAUGCUGAGGCUGAAGGAGGAUUCCCAAGCUGUGGCACAGCCUGUGCAGCUCUCAGAAACCACCCAAGACCCUAAAGGACUUGCAUGUGUAACUAAUUCACUAUAUGACCUUGUCGUAUAGUUUGGAUUACACAAAAAUGACAACAAAAGCUCAGAGUGGGCAAGCAAUUUGCCAAACAUGAUCUGAGGUUCCAUUCAGUUUUUUUCAAUAGACAAGUUUUUGACAAGUUCUUAUGUCCAGGCAGUGUGCUUAAUAAUAAAUCCUGGUGAUUUUAGAUCUUGAAUCCAUAUCUCUCACAAAUCCAGGAUUGUAUGCACUGUGUCAAGAUGACUUUAAAACCCAAAUAAUAAAAUGCAUUGAAUUUGAUCCCUGAGGUCCUUUUCUACUCUGUAUUCAAAGAAUAUAAUGCAUUUUUUCCCUGGGAAAAUUGAGGGGAAAAAAGUAGGGAGGGCAAGUUUUGGCCUGAGUUUUUAUGUAUAAGAAACUGCAGUUAAGUUCAAUCAAAACUCUAAUGAGAUUCUGAUCCACUUUUGUGCCCUCUUAGGAAUUUUUGAUUCAGCAUAAGGAGUACCCCUCGGUUCAAGGGCAUCUCCCCUUAUUCUAAUGGGGGGACACAUAAGCAAUAAUCCCAACAGUAAAUAAAAUAUUAUUACAGUGUUAGGUACAGAAAAGUGCUAAGUACAGUGAAAGUUCACUGACCAUAAUCUCUGCAAUCAGGACAUUUUUUGUGGAAGACCAGAUCUCAGUUUACACUGAUAUUAACUGGAAAUUGUUCAAACCAGAAGAGAGAAAAGGGCAACCAAGGAGCUGUCAAUGAACAAGCAAAAGCGAGGGGAUAGAAGGCAACCGAGUGUGUUCAGAAAAACACAGGCACUUCUCUGGUUCUGCAGAGUUCACCAGAAAGAUCAAGGCUGACUGCAAAGGAAGCCGGAGAAGGAGGUCUGACUUUCUUUUCAACAUUUAAAGGAAGGGGCUCAUUUAAAAAUAUCUAAAGCAAAUCACACAGUGCCCUGCAACAGUUCCAAAAUUCAACCAUGGUGAUUGCAUCCUGGGGCUUAGCAGAGGAUGCAUCACCCCAUAGACAAUGCAGUCAAUGUUUUUACAGGGAAAGAAAUGAACACCAUAAAAUGGUUUAGUGUUUUCAGUGACAGGAAGAGAAAAUGCGUCAGUUCAGUUACUAUUGCAUCCAGUAUGUACACAUCUGUGUGUAUAUCUAUAUAUGAGUGCUACCCGCCACCACCACUGUAGUUAGCUGCAGUAGAAGACAGGUGCCACCUUGGUUCUUUGGUAAAAUCCAUUUCCUGUACUGUCAUUCCCAGUCCACAUCAACCUAGCCAAUCUGACAUUAUCCAAUCUGACAUUAUAAUCCAAGGAUCUAGGGAGAAACACUGUGCUUUUCUAAACAACAUAUUCCUUUUACCUAAAGAAGACUUGGAAGAACUAAAGUCAUUGACAUUUUACUGAGAAUUGACUAAUUUUAAUUAACUAAUUAAAAUAAUAUUACUAGAGUAUUACUAAUUCUUUUUUGGCAAAGAAGGGUGUAGCAACAGGCAGGGAUAUCAAAAAGAUGUGGCAAAAAGAUAGGUAAUAAUAGCAGGCGUCCUAAAUGCUGCCUUUGGGUUUAUCACUAAAUUUUGAUGUAUGUCAAAUAUUUAUCUCCAGGGAGGUCUGGGAAAUUCUAAGGCAGAGACCAGACUGAGCAAGAUGGAUAUCCUAAAACUGAGCCAUUUGAGAUUUACUUUGUGAUGUGACAGUUUGAUAUAUUUUAUACCAUCAUAAUGAAUUCUCCAUUUCCCAAUUUAAUUGCAUGACUACUCGCAUUUUGAAUUAGAGAUGCUUUUCUCCAUCUUAACGAGCAGGGCUGUUCUUCACUGACUGGGAAACUGUAAGAGAAAUUAAUGCUGCUACUGUUUUGCAAACUCUGCAGAAUUUCUCCAGAUUUUAUGGAGCCCAAAGCUUGCAUGGUUUAGAGGAUACUUAGGGGCAGGACAGAUGGGGAGGCAGACAGCCACAUGUUGUUUUGGACUAAAACAAAAAAGGAUAAUGGGAAAAAGGGUUAGAAAAGUGGGAAAAGGUUGAAUCAGUCGUGCGUUUGAAUGCCAAAUCAAGGAGUUUUGGAUAGUUGGAGGAAGCUCAUUAGAUAAUCAUUAUAUAAUAGAUUUAUGGUUAUUUUUAUAGACUCAUUCCAUUGUAGUUUUGCAGAAAUGUGCUCCCUGCUUUGAAAAGGGAACCAGUAAAUUAUUGGCUCACAUUAUAAAAGCCUGAUGCCAACUUGGUUUUUCUUAAUGGUAUAGAAUUCUUUUGGAUCUCUAGAUUUAGAAACCAUUUUACUUUUUGGAAACUAUUUUACUUUCUAUAAUUUUAUGUCUUUUCAUUUAUAAAACAAAUAUGCAUACACCCUGGGAAGCAAUUGCCAAACAUUAAUAUUUCAACGUGGGCCUACUGUUCUUUUCUUGAACACAAAAGAAAAAAAAAUCACUUCUGAUAACAGCCAUGCUAUGUCUCUAAAGUAAUAAAACAGAUUGAAAAUUUGUACCACCAGGUAGUGGCUCAGUGAUGUGAACUGUGUAUAGGGGUGGGGAGUGGCUAUCACUCUGAGUCCAGUCUGGAGCAAGAAAUCAUACCUCUUAAUUUAAUGGAUAAAAUUUAAUAUAAAUAAUUAACUAGGUUCAGGUCAUUUGAAACUGGGUAACUGGCCCCACUAGAGUAGUACAGCACUCUAAAGCCUCUUUCCCUCCACAUAGUACUUUAUUCUACAUAUUUGUCCCACAGUUAGCUGCAUCAAAUGACAAUUUCUAUUUCAAAGAGUGACCUGCUGUUCAUGCCAUGCCUAAUACGCACAUUGAAAGUCCAGCAGAAUGCAGUCUGACUAAAUUUGGCAUACAAGAAUUUAAUUGGAUAUCUUACUUAAGAAUUAUCCACGACUCCAAUUCAAUUUAAUUGUUUAUCACAUAUCAAGCCAGCAAGUCAUUUCAAAAGAUCGAAUUGGGAAUAAAAAAUCCUACCUCCUGGUAAAAUCCCAAGCACCAUUCUAUGUUUGUAAGCCUACCUUAUCCUAUCGCUUCUGAAAGAAUUGCUCAUCUAAAAAACUAGCAUUUCUGGUUCCCAACAUGAGCUAUCUGCAAUCAGCCCCCCCCCCCCCACAAAAAAAAUGCUGGUAUCAUUUUCCAAGGAGCUAACUCACACUGAAGUGGGAAACUGCUGGCUGUGUCUCUAGCCGGCACACACACACACACACACACACACACAAACCUGUUUUCUGCCAGCUGCCUGGAUGCAUGCUACCCCAAACACCUCACCUCAUUUGGAAACACUAAGUUUUCAUCUCAAAAAUCCACAUUUCAUUUGCCAAGAUUAAUUUAAACUCAAUACAUUUGAUCAGUCACUUAAAGAUGCUAAGUGCCUGUUCAUAUAGAUCAUUGUAGGACUAGCCCCUCUUCAAAUACAUCAUUUUAUUCAUUUCUGCGUAUGAGAAGAUUAUAAGUUGGAAGGAAGAGCAGAGUUCUGGGAGCUCAGACCGGGUUCCAUCACUUUAACACAGCAUCUCAAGUGAGUUAUUUCAUUUCCCCAUGCCUUGGAAUUCUUAUCUUUCAAAUGCAUAUGGGAUAAAGCUCCUACCCUCCUGGCCUAUGAUCUCUGCAUCGCACCCCAGUUUUAUUACCAUGGUUCUGUUACACAGCAUGACAAAUAGGGUAUUGCAGAUGUAAUUAAAGUUACUAAUCAGUUGUUCUUAAGAUAGAAAGAUUACUCUGGAUUAUUUAGGAGGACCUGGAAUAGAAAAGCAGAAGAAUUCAAAGAGAUGUGGUGCAUGAGAAGGACUGGACUUGCCAUUGCUGGUUUGUAGAUGGAGGGGUCAAGUGGAAAAAUGACAGAGAAAUGAUUUCUUUCAAUAUCCAGUGAAUGUUGAAAAGGACCUCAAGCCCCAGAAGAGAAUUGCAGCUGCAGGUGAUUCCUUGAUUUUAUCUUGGCAAGAUAUGAAUGGAUCAGAGAAUUCAACCAUAUCACAUCAGGUUCCAACCUACAGAACAGUGAGAUAAAUAAUGGGUAUUGUUUUGAACCACUAACAGCUUGUGAUCAUUUAAUUUGUUACACAGUGCUAGAAAAUAAAUACAAGAGGCAAUAUGAUACUUCAUUAAUGCAAGAAGUCAUUGUGAACAAUAAAAAUCUCCACAAAUGUUCUUCGUUUUUUCUGUUGUUAUUGUUUCCUUCAUGCAAAUUCUCUAUACCCUCUGGUUUCCAGUCUUUGUUUUAUUUAUUUUUUUAAUCCAAGAGGAUCAGUUAUGGUAGGGACCAGAUAGACUGAGAAAAGUUUGCAUCUCAGAAACAGUUGACAAGAAACAAUCAAGUCGCACGCUGGCUCACUCUUCCUAGGUCUAUGUUCCUUCAGAAAGGCAUAUUUUGUUCUAAGGGCCUUUUAUAGACCAUCAUUACCUUUGGGAUUCUGCAUGAUCCCAAUUAUAAUUACUCUGUAGAUGAGAUGUUUAUCCAGCUGUAACACUGGAUUGGUUCUGGGGCUGUCUAUGCCCCUAGAGUCUCAUUUCUGGCCCUGCGGGGUAGUAACACCAGGUUGCUCCAUUAUCCUUUCUUUCUCCGAGGGCUCCUGAAGGCUCUUCACUGUCUGCAACUAUAUUAGUCUGGAGAUCUCAUUCCAGACACUCAUUCAGUCAACUAGAACAGAAAUUAAAAUCUUUGGUCCAAUUUUGAGCUAAAAAAAAAAUUGACUGGUUCUUCACCAUGUAUCAUUUCCCGAAUAGCUCUCUCCCUAGAAAAACACACCACAUCCAAAGAAUGUUUACUGAAAAGGAAAAAAGAAAGAUCUGCUGUUUCUUGCCACCAUCCAUAUUUGUAUUUUUAGGAGACCAUAUCUUAUUUCUUAUAUUAUCUGUAUCUCCAACUUUGUUCAAAAAUUUAAAAAAGGCUUUUUUUUUUCAUCUUCCUCUGUGACUUUUAAAUGAUUAAUUAUAUAUUGUCCUUGGUAAUUUUGCAAAUAUAAUACUUUAAACUGAAAAUUUUUCCUGAUUGCCAUUGCAAGUAUUCUUAGUUCCAAAGUUGUUUGAGUUGUAAACACUACAGGAGUAUUUUUGUCUGUAUUCUGGCUCUACUAAGUAUUCAGAGCAUACAGUGAUUAGGAGCUCAUACUCUGAAAAUAGCCUCCAUUGUGUAUCUCAGCUCUAUCAUUAACUAGCCAUGAUCUUGUGCAAGUUAUUUAACUCUCCAGGCCUGGGAUUUUUCAUCUGUAGAAUUCAUCCAUCCAUUACACAUAGCUCCUGAGUAUCUACCAUUUUAAUUAUUAUUAUCAUCAUCAUUCUAUUCAAAUUCCCAGGACACUGACUGAAAACAGAGCAUUGAACUGGUUGGUAAAACAAUCAGUGGCAAAGUCAUAGUUUGCUGUCAUGCUUUCUUGGUUUUCCUUGUUCCUUGUUGUCCUGCAUUGAUAUCUCCACAUUUGAUGGUCUUCUAGGCUCCAAGGAGUCAACGCAGUAGGAAUAAACUCCAACUAUCAGUGAGUGUGCAGGAAGUGGAUGGAAGGUGUGUACAGCUCUGAUUCCAAUGAGAUCACAGCAGCAUAGCCUCUGGGGACCUAGUGAUCUGAGGCUGGUGUUGGCAAAAACUGCAGAGAUUGCCAGGGCUCUGGGUGUCUGCAGAGGCCUUGUGGGCUGUUAGAAAUUUCAGUGGUGAAGGAUAUUAGGAUAUUCCUAAUUUCUUUAUCUCCAAAGGGGGAAGUCAUUGCUGAGGUGAUCACUCUUGGCCUGGCUCAGGCUCCCAAGUACCAUGGUGGCAGUGGCAUUUUUGUCUUAUGCAUGUGGAAAGGAUCUGGAACUCAGGCACGUGUGGAGUUACCAUGGCUUGGAAGCCUAGGAAUGCGGUGGCACUAGUCCUCAAGGUACAAGUGCCCCUUCUAUCAUUUUUUUGUAGUGAUAUGCAAGGUACAGGUGCUUGUGGAACAACCAGGGUCAGGAGUGUGGGCAUGUGCAGAGCUAUAGACUCUGGGGUCUGAGUCACAGGUGUGACAGUGACUCCAGUGUUCUAGUCGCAGGCACUCACCAUGUGGCUGCAGAGGCAGAACACUGAUAUGUGCAGGUCCACCUUGCUCCAGAGACCAGGACAUAGACAUGCCAGGGGUGGCAUUGGCUUCUGCUGCAGAGCCAGUAUUUGCAGAGUGACUGCAGUAAUCUGGAUCAAGGGUACAUAUGGAAUGACAGUAGCUCUGAGGUCUUGUACACAGGUUAGUUUUCUGUAUCAAUAGCUCCAAAGUUUGUAUCAUACUUGCUCAUGAAGCAGUAAUGAAAUUGGGGAUCCAUGAUUCUGGAUCCAGGAUGGUGCUACCCUGCAUUGGUGGCUCCAGUGUCUGCAGUGUGGGUGCGUACAAUGUGAACGUGGAUCUAAGGCCUGGAGUGCAGCCAUGCAUGAAGAGCCCAAGUUCUGGACUAGAAAGCAUGCAGUGUUGGAGGGCUUGACAGUCCUGAUCCCAGGAUGACACAACAAUGGCUUUUUCUGGGAGUGGGGGACAGAGCACAGCAUGUCCAUCUCCAGGGAGUCUGUGGUAGCCAUGGCUGUUAAUUACCUCAGUGGAGAAUCUUCUGGUGUCCUCAGAAGAACAGAACACUAGUGACCCUGAUGAUGGCAUUGAUGGCCUGGCUGACACUGACUAAUAAUGAUGGUGCCUGCCCUUCCUCUUUGUUCCUAAUCAUUCCCUGGUGUCUCAGGUAUGCUGAUCUCCCCUGAGAUUUCUUUAAUUCAGUUAUUCCUCUUGAUAUUUUCUGGGUAGUUUUACUCCAUUUUGUUGCUGCAGGUUCUCAAUUGGAUCCUUCAGCCCUCCCAGGGCUACUUCUCUUCAUGUAUAAGCUACCUAAUUGUGGGUUUUGUGGUCAUCGUUUGUUUGUUUGUGAAGGGCUGAAGGCUGAUGUUUUCUUCUAUCUUGCAGAUGUAGCAAUGGUCAACGAUGAUGCCAAGAUAAUUCAGUGGGGAAAUAAAUCAUCAUGCUUGACCAACUGCUUAUCUACAUACCAGAGAAUAAAGUCAGGCCCCUUUUGGGCUCCAUACACCAAAAUGAACCAAAAAUGCAUGAUAGAUCUAAAUGUAACAGCUAAAACUGUAAAAUUCUUAGGAAAAAAAAUAUAGACAAUUUUGACCUUGAUAAAGGCAAAGCAUUCUUGGAUAUGAUUCCAAAAGCAUAAGCAACAUAAGAACAAGAUAUACAUUGGACUUCAUCAAAUUUAAAACCUAUAGUGCUACAAAUGAUACCAUUAAGAAGAUGAAAAAUAUAACCUACAAAGUAUGAUAAAAAUAUUUACAAAUUAUAAAACCAUAUAUCUGCCAAAGUACUUGUGUUUCAAAUAUAUAAAGGCUCUUACUCAGUAAUUUAACAAGAUAAAUCAGCCAAUUAAAAAAUAUACCAAUGAUUUGAAGAGGCUUUUCUCUCAAGAAGAUAUUGGCAUUUUUUUGAAAAUGUUAAAUAUACACUUACCAUAUGACUUAAAGAUUUUAUUCCUAGAUAUCUACACAAAAGAAUGAAAUCAUAUUCUCUACAAAAAAUGUAUAUGUGAAUGUUCAUAGCAUUUUUAUUCAUGAUAGACAAAAAUUGGAAAUAAUCCACAAAUCCAUAAACCCCUGAAUGCAUAACCAAAACAUGCUGUAUUCAUAAAAUGGAAUACCAAUUAACUAUAAAAAGAAUAAAACACUGAAACAUAUAACAACAUGAAUGAACCUUAAACCAUCAUGUAACAUGAAAAACAAAAACAGACACAGAAGACUAAACACUGCAUGAUCCUAUCGACAGAGAAUUCUAGAAAGUCUGUUUGCUUGACACUUGGCACUUUGGUGAGGAGGAAGGGGUCAGAUGCACAAGCGCAUACCAUGGGGGUGAUAGGAUGCUCUGUAAAGGGAUCUUGAGGAUGGGUGUACAACCCUAUAGACCUAAUAGAUACUGUUCAAUUACACACUUAACUAUGUCAUGUAUAUAAAUUUACCUUCAUAAAGUUAAUAAACUAGAUUUUAAAUUAAGAACUUCAUUUCAUUUAAAGGAUAUGAAAAACAGGAACUUUCAUAUAUGUGAAAAUAAAUUGUCUCAGUAAUUUUGAAAAACUGAGAUCAUCUAAGUUUAACUCUGAUACCUCAUGGUUUUACUGUUAGGCAGUAUAUACUCCAUAGAACCACCUAUGUAUAUUCACUAUAGACACAUGAUUUCUCAGAAACGGUGCAGCAUCAGCUCCAAGCUAGCAAUGCAAAUAUACAGACAUGUGUUUUGUUACAUUCAUAAUAUGCAGCAAUGAAAGUCAAUAAAUUAUUUCUGCAUGAAAGAACAUGGAUAAAAUUCUUAAUUAUAAAGCUAAUGACAAAAGCCAGACAUAAUUAUAUAGAAAUAUAGAUACUGUUUAUAUAUUUAAAUUUAGCAAAACUAAGCUAAGGAUUCAACAUCAAGGCACUGGUCACUUUUAGGGAAGAGAAAUUGCAUUCUAACCUGCUAGAGGCAUGGAGAGCUUUUAGAGUGCCGGUAAUAUUCACUUCAUAGUCUGAUGGUGGUGAUGUGGAUAUGCUGACUUUGUGAUAAUGCAUUGAGAAAUACAGUGACAAUUCAUAUACACACUUGUAUUUAUGCUAAUUGUUAGUACAGAAAUAUCGUUAUGACUUGGAUGCAAGAAGUCCCCUGAAAAGCUCAUGUGUGACCAUGAAGGAAUGUCACACCAUUAAUCUCAAAUCAUGAAGUGGAGUUAUGUAAAUAAAUUAACUCUAUCUUCUAUAGAGUGAUUAGCUUAUGAGCUAAGCUUCAUCACUAGGUUAAUCCAUUUGACAGGUUAAUAACCUGAACGGACUGGUGGAUGGUAACUGUAGGCAGGUUGGGUAUGGCUGGAGGAAGCAGUCAACUCAGACAGCUUUUAAAUCUCAAUUUCAGGAGGGAAGGCCCAGGAGCAAUAUUGGCAGAACUACUUUGUUAUAUAAUAUGCGCAUACAAAUAUGUAACAACAAAUCCCAUUAUUAUGCACAACUAUAAUUCACCAAUGAAAAUAUGUGGGGAAAAAAUAAAUACAUCUCAAGUUCAUAAUAAAAACAAUCAUGUUCCUUUCAACAUGUAUUACUAACACUUUAUCAAGUUCAGGUGAGAUGAUUCUUUUUACUCCAUCCUAAAAUGGGUGAGUAUUCCUAACCUAAAGGGAAAUAUCUCAGUCUAACCAUUAAUCCCAAAUCAUGAUGUGGAGUUAUGUAUCCAAAUUAAUUCUAUCUUCUAUCAACCCCUGAGUUUGUGUCAUCCAAUCUGCUCCUUAGAUUUUAUCAAUAAUAUCUUAGUUUCAAGUGUUUGUUUUUUAUCUGCUGAUAAUAUGAACAAAAUUCUGCCUUGAUAUUUCUUUUAAUAAUUGUGUAGCCUAGGUAAUAUAUAUCUUAUAAGAAAAUAAUGUUUCAAAAUUUGAAUUCUACCUUUGGGGGCCUUGCCUUUUAUUCAGUUUUCCUGAAACUUUUUAUGAAAUUUAAGUCUUCAUGAAAACUGGUGCCAUUAUAUGAAAUAUCAAUACCACUUUUUGCUUGGGAAAAAUAUAAAAUUAAAUUCCAAAUGGGCAACCUCGAUAUUCACAUAACUUUUCGAUUUGUCUAUUAUCCUGUCCACUGUAAAAAAAACAAAGCCAUGUUUAUUUUAGUCCCUUUAGUUAAAAUGACAGAAUUGUCAUUACAGUUCUUCCACAUAGUUAACAAGAGAUAUUAUCCACUAUGACACUGAGAAAUAUCCCAUAGCUUUGUUCUGCAUUGAUUUUACAUUAGAAACUACCCACACUGACCUAUGGGCCUUUCUCAAACUAAUAAAAUUACAAUCUGAAAUUAUAGGCCAAACUCUUUUACAAGGUUCUCCUAUCGUAAGGGGAUGACUUUAUGGAAGGAGAAAUUCAUGGAGUAGCAAAUCUCCUUAGUCAUUCUUGGCACAUGAGCUUUUAGCAAUAUAUGGAAAAUAAUUUCUAUCAAAAGUCAGAACAACUAAGAUGAAUCAAGCCAAUUUAGUGUAAGCAGUUUCCAAAAUCACCUGUAACUCUUUUGCAUGGACCCCUUUUCACAUCAGAACAGUAAACUAUGUAGAGGACUCCAUGUGCCAUUUAUGUCUAGGUCCUCAGCACCCAACAAUCUGCAUAGUACAAAAAGAGUGCUUAAUAAAAACUUGUCAGACAAGUGUCAAUUUGUUCUUCCAGAACACAUUUCUUUCCCCCCUGAGAAGUAACAGGCCCUUUCUGUACCCUUCAGCUUAUCAAAUUCCCUGACACCUAAACGAAGACUCAUGAAAAACAGAUUUAUAUCAUCAUUUCCUAGAUCAUUGAUGGAAAAGACUCUAGGCUCAAAACUCAUCCUUGUUAUAGUGGCUCCUGGGUCACCCAAGCCUAGGCUCUGGUGAUCUAAAUAUAGAUACUAAAGAAAGACUAGAUCCUAAUACCUAAGCAACAGUAAAUUGCAAAUGUAUAUAAUUGUAUUUUCCUUCUCCACAGUACAAAACUUUGAAUUCUUUGAAUUCAGCUUUCUCCAAUUGUCUAGUUGGAGAAAGCAAAGAGUUCAGUGAUGACAAAAGAGACUUUCACAUCUCGGUCCAAAACUCGGUUCUUCUCCAGUCUGUGCAAUGAAGGAAUACCUACCAAAUAACCUGGAAACCAGAGAAGACCCAUCAUUGGUACCAGCCUGAAAAUGUGCACCACUAAUUUUAAAUGCCACUUAUUAUUAUGCAAACUGGAAGAAUUUGAAUCUCAACCUCCAUUCUAUUUAACUAGUAUGGCAUUCUGUGCCAGUUUGACACUAGAAUCUUAGAUAUUUAUAGGGUGUCCAGACAACAGGGAAGGGGCUUCUCCCCUGCAAUUGACCAUGACUUGAUCUGGCCUCUAGGAUGAUCUCAGGCACAAUUUUACUAUUGCUCCUAUAGUCCUCUCACCCUAAGCCAAGAAUGUGUCCAAUCACCUGCUUUUGGGACUAUGACCUCAGACUGAAGACCUAGCAUACAUCACAGACCCUCUCCCUCCUUUGUACAUGCUCCUUAGGACUCUGUCACGAAGGGUUCAAGGUUCAAGCCUUACUACAUUUUGGGCAGUGUUUUAAUUUCUAUGUAUGUUAUCCUCUAGAUUCUCAUAAGUGUGAAGUGGGGACACUACUGUUUCUAGUACUCUUUACCAAUAAAACACAAAGUCACAGAGAAGUUUAGGAAUUCACAUAAGGUCACACAAUAAAAAGCAAAACCAAGAAUAAAAGUCAUGCUUGUCACCACAGUUAAUGAACUCAUCCUGAAGAAAAUAACAUUUUUGAUAAUAAUGAUAAUGAUGGUGUGAUAUAAUAUCUAAAGUAGUUUGCUGGAAAUUUCAGGUACAUGUAUGGAGUAUGUUACAAAAGUAAUCUCUACUUGUAGAGAUUUGUAAAAUCACCUCUAUUUUACAAAUGAAGAAAAUAAGACUAGCUAGUUACUUGAGUAGUGGGGGAAAGAUCAGACUACACAUCUGUCUGACCCAAAUGCCCUGCUCUGCCCCCACAAGUAAUUUCAGUUAUUUCCUAAGGUUCCUCAUUGAGUAUGGUGUAGCCAUCCUUCAUGGGCUGUCUCCUCUCUCCCUCUAUGUCUCACCCACUUCCAUCUCUUCAGUCCUGGCCUCAUCUCCAGUCACAUAGAACUGCUUGCUCUUCCCCAAGUUCUUCUUCCUCGUUUCCCAUGCCUCCACUCACGUUCAUGGUUAAUUACUGCACACCUCUCACCUGCUCAGCUUAAAUGACCCCAGCGAUGCAUUCUCUGACUACAGUCCUGAAUUCUCCAUUUAUGCAGAAAUACCCAUCUAUGUGACUGUUUCCCCCGUAACCCCACACAGCAACAGAAACUAAAAGAUGCCUACCCCUGGGUCACAAAGGCAGCUGACCCAGCACACUGACAAGACUUCUCUUGGCAGGCACCAUCACCAGCUUAUCCUUCAGAACACAUUUCCCUCUGAAGUGGCAGAGUCACAGAGCCCGUGGAGCUGGUCGCCAGUACCAAGAGGGUGGGAGAGCAAGUUAUACAUCAGAAUAUGACAGUUGCCCAGGAACUCUCUGGGACAGCUUCUGGAUUCACUCACUGUGACAAGGUUAGGCUACAUCUGAAUGAAACUCAGAACAAGUUGUGAGAUUUGAAGAAGCAAAUGUUACAGGGAGGAGAACUCUGGAAUGAGUUCCAGGGAUCUCAGUUUGAGUUCUUCCUCCAUUACUCAGACAUUUUCAAAAGCAUGCUAGAAAUUCUGUAACUUUAAGGUAAGAACUAAAUGUAAGAAUGGGUAUGGUUGAGUUUGUAAACCGUAAAAUAUAGAAUAGAGUUAUUGAGUUAUAAAGUCCCUAAUAAAGUCCUUAACAACAGAGAUUGUGUCUUACAUUUCUUGUCUCCCCAUAAAUAUAUUUGGGACACCUAUGUUAAAAUGUAAUAGAAAGAGCCCUAUUUGCUCUGAAUUUUUACAUUGGUUGUAUUUUCUUGCUGCCAGUCAGAGAAUAGCAUGAACUGCUCCCUGAGUCAUAUUUAGUUAUGAGUAUUUGUAGUGAAAAUAUGAUGUUCAGAGUUGCUGCCACUACAUUUCAAUCAACUUCUAUAUAAGGCCAACCUACCUCCUAGUGAUAACGGACUCAAAUGAACCCCCAUAAUAGGAAGCUUAGAUAUCUCUGGCAUGAUGAACAGACAAGGAGUAAGCUAACCUAGAGUGGAUGGAACCCCAUCCAAGGGUGGGUGUAAAUGGGAACAGUUUGGGACUAUCCAACUCGGCUUUUUAGUGACUAGAAUAAUGGCCAGCCUAUGAUACAUGAACUAAUGUUUCAUGUCUUUCCUACUGAGCCUCACAUUGCAAUUGAAGGAAACAAUAUUGAAUAUUUGCUCAUUUCCCCCAAGACAGUCAUCGUGAGGAGAAAAAGCACAAGGAAUAAUGCAUGUGGUUUGCAAAAAUAUUGAUUAAUCUCUUUGUAUCUGUGCAUGUGUGCCAACCAGAAUUAUUCCAUGGAAAUAAUUGGCCCAUGGAAUGGAUCAAGUGCUAACUUUGAAAAUCAGUUUGAUUCCAUAUCAAUAUCAGUAAUGGGACAAAUACAUAGAAGAUAAUAUUUUCAUUUUACAUAAAGAAAGUAAAACUAAAAUGGUUAUGGGCCUUACACAAAGACAAGCAAAUCAGAAGUGGAGGGAACAGUAGGUUCUACCCAAGUUUCAUCUCUAGCGCUAGAUAGAACAAGGGAAGCAUGAUAAGAAGUUCUGAUUCCCAGCGUGAGGGAAAGGCCAGGAGUUAGAAUUGAUGGCUUGCUGAGCCAGUUUCACUCAUAAAGACCGAGACAUUGCUGUCUUUCCAUUAGGACACCCAUGAACAUUACUCUUCACUGAGAGACAAUGAUGCAAUCUGCUCUCAUCAAAGAAGGAAAGAGAAGAUUGCCAGGGAUUUACAUAAUUCAGCACAUAGCAAGAUAUUUUUCAAGGUUCUUCAGCAAUGUCAUUUUACUUAUAAACUGUUCAAAGGAGGAAUAUUUAUGGCCCUUCGACCUCUCCCACUGGCCCUAAAAGAAAUUGAAUUUCCAACCAAAUCCAUUUACAAAGAAAGAGCUAUUCAUUCUAAUAAAGCCACAUGGUAAGUACAUUAAGUAGGGGAAAAUGUCUUUUGAUGAACAGAGAUAUUACACCCACAGGAGUGGCAGCAACCUCAGGGAAAAAGUUAAGGUUGGCUGCUUCUGAUCUCACUUGAAAUUUUCCCAGCUCAUAAAGCAUGACAAGACCACAAAGCAGCUGCUUUAGAGUUACCCAAGUGCCAUUAGCCAAUACGCCCAAUUUCAGCCUUGAUACUUGUGGCAUGAAGUAAUGUAUGAAGAAGAAAAAUGGUCGAUACUUUAAAAGGAUCUCCAGCUUCCAAUCUGUACAAAUACAAUCCUGGUACCAGCACUAACACAGAGGGCAUGCCAAAAGAUAGGUAAGAAGAUAUUUGUCUGUAAGAAAUGUACAGAAAGACUUGUGCAUUCAGUGUGGAGCAUGACAAAACAAACACAAUCAGAUGUCAAAAACAGACUGUCAACAACAGGACUAAUUUGGCCAGGCUCAGGUGAAUUUCCCAAUAGUAGGGCAGUGGGGUUGGCAAGAAAAAUGUGAAUUCAAUGCUUUGGAGGGAAUAUGGAAUGACCUUGGAAGUUGAGAAAGAGUGAGGAAGAAGGAUGUAUUAAUUAUUCUACCCAUGUUCCUGACUUAAAAGGUUUAGUGAGUGGUGGCAGUAGACACUAAGCUCUGGGACACUGAAUGAGAACUGGGGGAAACUCUGAUAGGUUAAUUUAGAAAUUCUGAGUCUAAAUGUCCUCUGGGACAUUCAUAAAAGCAAAUGCCAUCACAGUCUGGUCACACACAUAGGAAUAUAUGUGCUGGGUACAAAGAACUUGCAGUUGCUAGGAAAUUGGAAUUAUCCCUAAAGUCCCAACCCCCUGUUCUCUUUUCAGAGUAUCUAAGUCAGAAAUCCCAAUGAUUGCACCAAAUUGUAACCUUGCUUUUAAAGAAAGAUGUGUUUUAUUUAAGAUUGAAUAGGAUAAAUAUAACAAUAAUUCAAACAUGUGAUCACUUUAGGAAAGAAAGUCCUAAUUUACACCCAAUUGCCACAUCAGUUGUAGAAAACUCAAAAUCAAGUUGGUUUUUAGGUACCUUGGAUAACACUUCUGGAAUAAAAAUCCUGAAAAGAAUAAAAUCUGGUUUUCUGUAGGCCACCUAACAAUAACCCUGAGUUCUCCAAUAGGAUAGAGUCAAAGAAAUGUCCUGCAAGAUUACAUUCAUUGUGCCUGCUAAAUUGGGAGCAGUCAUUCACCCAAACACUAGUCAGUGAUACUUCUGAUAAGUGAGCCACAGAUAAUGUAAAAUCAGAGAAAUUUGAGUUUGGAACUCUCAUAAUGUUGACAGAAAUGAGGAGAAAGGAAUAAAAAACAAAAAGAUAAGCAACACACAUACAGAGAGAGAGAGAGAGAGAGAGAGAGAGAGAGAGAUUUCAGGCCUCAGUGGCUGUGUUAUAAAUGGGAAUGGAACAAAUCAAGUAAGCAGGUAAGCUUGAGAAAGAGAGGGAGAUGAAACUUCAUGUUAGGCAGUAGAUGGGACAGUGAGAGAACACAGAAAGCAGAAAUUGAUUCUUUAUCAUACACAAAAGUCCCCUAAUUUCUUUGGUUGCUAAAAACCAGAACCAAUUUCCCUGAUUAUCAAUGAAAUCAAAAGGAAAGUCUAUAUACAUUUUGAUGAGAAUUAGAGAGAAAAUCACAAUUUUUUUCUCAGUAAACACAAGCAGUUGACAACUAGACCAAGCAGAAAGAGAGGGGAAAAAAUUGAAGCAUACUGGUAAAUCCCAGCAUAUAAGAAAUAGAACAAGAUUCCUAUGAAGGUAUUCAAGAAGAAGAUAUCAGAACUUCACUGAACUAAGAUUAAUAAACUUCUGGGUAAUAAGAAGCUUGAAGGGACCUGAGUUUAAUUGAUGAAUAAGAGUGCAAUAUGAUUAAACUAUUAUUAUAUAAAAUAAAUGCAAAAAGACUACAAUCCAGUGUGUAACAGAGAAGAUCUUGGAGGAGUGAGUGUGCAGAGAAAUCAAUAAGGAAAAGCUUAUUCUCCCUCUUAACAGGAAAAAAGGUACAAGAAAGAAGAGGAACAGGGGUUCUUCAAUCUCUAGGAAUAUCAGAGGAAAUGUAUUUUGACUUAGGUGCUCAAAUAUAUAGAAAGUUUAAAUAAUCAGUAUCUUUGAUGAUACAUAAAAUUGGUGGAUUCUUGGCAAUUAGUAAGUUUUUAGCCCAAUAAAUCUGGAAGAUCAUGUGUGUAAAGGAAGAUAAGAGAUGUCAGUGGUGUGUGGUAGAACUGAGAGAGAAUGUUUGACUACGACCAAGACUUGUAAAGAUGAACAUGAGCUGUGUUGAGAUAAAGGACAGGACUUUUCCUUCCUGAUGGAGAGACCAGGAGGACUUUGGGUCAAAGCAGAAAGUUCAGCUGUGAGAUGAGCUGUUCUCUCAUAAGAUCUUUAGAAGUAGAUUUAGCAACACAAUUCUGUGUUCUGGGUUGAAGUCAUUGAAUCUGGAUACCCAUAUUGUUCUCCACUCAGUAAUGACAUGCAGAGUAGAAGAAUUAAGGGACAGAUAAAGCAACCUUUGGCCAAGUAUGGUAUUCAAAAUGUUCACAGCCAGUGUCAUAGACCCCAAUCAAUUAGAAGGGACCAAUCAGAAUAUGCAUAAACUAUAAAUAACUAUAAAUACCAGGGGGCACCAACAGAAUUUUCACCCUGCCUAAGAGUUCUAUUUGCUCUUCAAGGUCAUUGUUACUGGAUGAGACUGUUGAUAAGCUUCUACAGUGCUUUAAAGGGGGUUCUUUUUGAAGGAAACCAAAUAAAUCUUGCUGCCAUAUUAUUAACCAUAUUAAUAUCCUUUGUCAACCUGUUUUAAUAAGAAGGUACAUCAAUAAAGUUCUCAGCUCAACAACAAUGAAUCUGUGACUAGGUGAUAUCAAACAUAUUUCUGAAACUUUUAAUGAUGUCUUAUUUUUUCAUUUACAUCAACUUUUCUACUGGCACUGGUGCAGAGCCCAUAUGGACCACUCAAUAUGAAGCAUGAGCUAGUUUACUUUCUAAAGAUUUCUUAGAAGAAAACCACCAAGGUAGAGAUCUGGUUAAAUAAGUCUGGUUAAAUGCCAAUUUCAGGGCUGUGUCAAUUCAAAGUCCUCCCAGCCCCCAGUGUCAUACGUGACCUCCUCCUACAUGCUCCUGUGUGCCUUUGUUUCAAUGGGUGCCGUCUAGGAUCUAUCCUGUAAAACCACUCAGCUCAAAGCACAGCACCCUUACAGUUUUCUCCAAGAAAUCUAACACACUCAAUAGUUUGCGAGUUUGGUAACACCCAGGAAAACUGAGUGAUUUGGAGAUCAGAUCACACCUUAUCACGCAGAGUCUUGCAUUUACACGCUAUUACAGCCACUCACCUCCCCCUGCCUUUCAAAACCUCUCAGUAAAGCAUGAUCUUCUCUACCAAGCACUCGUACUUCAGCACCAAUCUCUGAUCCUGUUUUUGUCCUGGAACAGCCCCACCAGGGCAGCCUGUCUGGCCCAGACUUAUUCCUACCAUUUAUUUAAACUAAGAUUUCAUUUUCUGUGAAAUCAUAUUUUAACACUAUCACUCUAGUAUACUAUCAUAUCCAACCUUGGGACGUUGUAUCUAAUAUGCUCUUAGACUUUUCAAUUGCAAAAAGCACUUUCAUAUCCAUUAUCUUAUUAUACCAUCCCUAGUUUUUCCUUCAAUCUCUGGGGAGGCAAAAGCCAUGACUCACAGAACACUGAGUCUGUAGCCCUUAGCACGGUGCCUGACACACACUGGGUUCUCAUCAGAAACUGUGGAUGAAUGAUCAGUGAAUAAAUGAACAUGGCUAUUAAAUAACGUGUCAAGGAUCAUAUAUCCUAGAGGAAAUAGAACCAGAUUUCAGCACAUACCCCAAGUUCUGGUCUUGCUUCAAUCCCACUUCACAUGUGCCACAGAUCUACAGCCUCUUUAAUAUGGAGAGAUGUAAACUGCCAGAAUGAACACAGGCAAGUGAUUUUUAAAGUGUCAGGCAGGCAUUGGGCUCAAAAUUUUUUUAAGUUUCUUCUAAUCCAGAAUUUUAAUGAAAUACUAACAGUCCUCUAAGAGUUGCUACUGGUGCUUGUGAAAUGGAAUUUUUCCAUUAGCAGAUUUUGUUACACACAUAAAACCAUGAAUACAGACCAUAUGAAUUCAGAAGACCGGGACGUUCUAAAGGGAUAAUCUAGUUGUCUGAGACAUCAAAGACAUAAAUUCUGCCAGAAAAUUCUGUAUUCUUCACUCUACAAUGGAAGAUGACACGUUGCUUCUGCCUGGUAAACAAGUCACCCUCUGUGCCAUUUACACGAUUGCAAACACAAGAGAAAUCACCCCUUCCCAGUCACACCCAAGAACUCCACUGUGAAAGCCUAGAGUUGGUUUCCACAGAUGCACAGCUGGAUCAUCCCCUACUUGCUGUUGUCAGAGAAUGAAAAGCUUCCCUUUUCUCCCCAUGAAGCCAGCAUUAGGAAUCAGAUGACCUAUGUGGAAGCUAUUGAAGGGCUUAUUGAUUGUGUGACCUGGGGCAAGGCAUACAAAUUUCAGGUUUGUAAUCUCUAAGGCAGGAUGGAUAAGCAUAAGUCAGUGGUGAGGCGAAAGUGAGAGAAGACAACGGCAUUCAAAUUGUGUUUUCUGGAACCCCUGGGGUAGAGAGGGGUCAAGCAGCAGAGGCCACAACAUUCUCCCCUGCCUCGGCCAGAGAAAGCCAGUUUUUAGACUUGCAGAACCCAGAUCCAGGCCUCAGAAUUCCCAGCUCAAUUAUCCAUCCACUGAACCAAACAAACAUUUCCUCAGAAUUGCCCUGUGCUCUAGAGUUCACAGAGCACAUUGUGUACAUUAUCUUACAUCUGACCCUGUCUAUGGUACAGGAAAAUUAUCCUUCCCACUCACCUGCUGAAGAGUGAGCCUCUAAAAGAUUAAGUGAUGAGCGGCGGUUCCCAAGAUGAAUUCACAUUCGUUCCAAUGGUCACUAUCCAAAUGAUCUUGAAAAGCCACUUGAUCUCCUGAAUCUCAAUUAAAUCAUUAAAAAAAAAAACAGAAACUAGCCGGGCAUAGUGGUUAAUACCUAUAAUUCCAGCCCCCACCUGAGAGUCCUGCACUUCCUGCCAAUCUGGGGAGCCUUCAUGGUCCUGUUUUCUCCAAUAAACAAGAUAACCAUCUUUAAUUUGAAAACUGGUUGCCUUUUCAGAUGACCUAUGUUCUCCCAAUAAACAAGCCACAUACUCAUUUUUCUUCAGAGAAUGAAACUUCUGGCUUAUCUUAAGAAGAAGGGGAAAGUAUUGAUUCAAAAUCUGAUAGGAUUUACAACAUACCCUAUAUUUCUGCUUCAAAGACCACAAAGAACACAUUGUCCUCUUCCCACAGGGACAGCAAUCCCAGCCCCAGUUAGUACUUGGAGCGGGACAUUUGUUCCUACUUGAAAUCAAUCAGUAUAUUAGCAACAGGUGUCACCUGGUUUUCCUGCUAAUGAUACUAAAAUCCAUUGCAUUGGACAGGAAUGGUUGACUUUCUAAAAUGUUUGGUCAUUGGUAACAUAUUCUAUCUCCCCUUGAUUCCAAAUGCCUGACCCUGGGCUACAGUAAGACAUUUUCUACACUCAUUGAAGUCAUUAAUUUAUUGAGUCAUCAAUGAACACUAAGCACCUACCCUAUGUUGGACUUGGCGCUAAGCAUCGUAGACAACAAACACAUAAGAAGCAGUACUGCCAUCAGGAUAUUUACAAUGUUGCCAGGAAGAAUUGACUCAAAAAGACACAGCAGAAAGAGGUAAGCACACAAGGGUUCUAGGAUGUGGUGAGCAAAACCUGCUUUCCACUUACGUGUGCAGCACUACUGUCUGAGUAGGAAUCCAAUUCUGCAAGUUAGUAAGUGGAUGAGGUCUCAUUAGGAAAGAGAGCAGAGCUGCUUAUGACAGAAGGAAAAGCAAAGAAAAGGAGACAAUGCAAGAAGCUUGGGAGAAGCAAAAUGUAAUGCUAAAAAUAUCAGUGCACAGAGUCAGGGCGACUGGGUUCACAUUAGUUCCAAUGGUCACCAUCCUAAUGAUUCCAAAAAACCACUUGAUCUUCUAUAUCUCAGUUAAAUCAUGUUUUAAAAAAACAGAAACUAGUCGGACAUAGUGGUUGAUGCCUGUAAUUCCAGCAACUUGUGAGGCUGAGGCAGGAAGAUUACAAGCUUCAGCAACUUAGCAAGGUCCUAAGCAAUUUAGUGAGACCCUGUUUCAAAAACAAGAAAUAAAAAGGGUUGGUGAUGUGGCUCAGUGGUAAAGCACCCCUGGGUUAAAUCCCCCAGUACCAAACUCAGAAAAAGAAAAAGAAAAGAAAGCCAGAAACCAAAAAAGGUGUCUUGUUCCAAAAAUAUGGACCUUCAAAUAUUGUUUUACAUGAAAUUCUGGGUUAACUUUAAAGAUCUCUGAUAAGUCUUGCUAAACUUAGUUACAGUAACAGGCAGGAAAUUGGUUUCAAAGCAUUGGGAUGGUAUGAGUGAAGCAAUAAACAGCUAUAUUCUUAAAGGCCAUUUAGCAACUUGAAUUCUAUGUUAAAGUCACUUGUUAUAAAACAUAACAUAAAAGUUAACACUAGUGCCACAAAAAUAAUGAAUUAUAGAAACGAGGGUUCAAAUCUUUCUCACUGAAGACAUUAACCAAAUAUUAUUCCUAAUUAUCUCUUAAGGAGAAUGAAAUUCCCUUAUCUCUUUUAAGACACGUGAUUCAUGUUCCUAGCAGCUUUUCCUCAACAAUAAAAAUUUAAUGAUAGCAUUUAGAAACAAAGAAAAUUUCAUUAUGGAAAUUCACUGAUUGUGAAAUGCAUAUUCAGUCAAAAAAAGGAACGAUAAUUUGAAGACCAAUAUAAGAAAAGUCUAUUGCACUUCAAGCUGAGCCUGGUGACAUACACUUGUAAUGCCAGUGGUUUGGGAGACUGAGGCAGGGGGAGCACACGUUUAAAGCCAGCCUCACCAUUCAGUAAGGCCCUAAGCAACUUAGUAAGACCUUGUCUCAAAAUAAAAAAAUAAAAAGGACUGGGAUGUUACUCAGUGGUUAAAUACUCCUGGAUUCAAUCCCCAGUACAAAGAAAAAAAAAUCCCUAAUGCACUUCAAGACAUGUUAUAAAACUACCAGCACGAACACCUGUGGCCUUGAUGUAAGGGUGAAUAGCUUGCCGGUAGACUUGGAGCACAAAGGUGGAAGUUACAGUCUCCAAUCCCUUUCUGUCUUCAGAGCUCUCACCCUCCACCAGGUUUAUGGCCAUAGAUCACAGGAGUGAGAAUAGUUCUGAAGCUCAAAACCCAGAAGGAGAACAGAGAACCAGAACGUUCUGGGGAGCUUACCUGAGCUGUGACGAGCAACAUCCUUGGAACAUCACAGGUGAAGCCACCUCUUACUCUCACAGGCACCCUUCAAAUUAGAGGAAAAUCACUCUAAUACAAUGCAAGAAGCUGGGGAGAAGCACUCUAAGGCUCAGCCACUCUAAGGCCACCUGCUGAGACAGGGUGAUUCCAAUGUGGUCGCAGACUCAGCUGCUUUCAGCACCCAUAUUUUGAUCCUUAAAUAGGUAGUCAUUUUUUUCUCCCUCCUUUUCCUGCUUCCUCUUCACAGUAUACUGAAACAGCCAGAAUGAGUGGUAUUUUCCCCUGGUAAAUAACCUCUCUAUAGCCUCAAGUUUAUCCCCAGUCCUUAGGUUUUCCUACAGCCAGCAUCAGCUUGCAUAGGAAGGACACUUCACUUUUAGACAAACUGCUAUUCCCCAAAUUUUCAGCCAAAACAAAAGGUAUAAUGAGACAAACUGACCUUCUGGAAGUAUCUUGGGAACCAAUUAAGAGUGAGACUUUUAAAAGGAAAACAAAUGAUCUACUAGGAAUGUGAAAGGAAAAGUAUAAUUGCUAAUCCUCAAAGGGACAAGAGAUAAAAGGGAAAAUUCUUACCAGACUGAUUUUAUUCCAUUGCAGUGUUUGGUUUCUUCUCUCUAAGGCAAAAUAAACUGAGAAAGAGAAGAGAGGGAGGGCAUGAAGCAGGGAAAAAAAGUAAAUCAAGGCUGUGCCAACAUCUGUAAAAUCCUGCUAUCACAAUGCACUAGGUCCAUGUGAUAAAUGUAAUGAGCAAUGAACAGUGGCACCCUGAGAGACUCCUAUCAAGAGCAAAUGGAUGCUUAUUAUGUCCUGAUUAGUCCACUUCAUACACUUCAGCUCCUUGCUGGUCACAAAUAGGCACUAAGACUCACCAAUACUAGUCAUGUGAGCCCCAGGCCCUUGGACUCCAUGUAUUUCUUGUCUGAAUCCUUAAUAGUCCUCCUGUGUACGAUGUGUAUACUAGACUCAGAUAACCUCUAUUUUUAUUUUUGUUUCUUUUUGAUAUAGGUAUCAUUUUCAAAUGGAUCAAAGUUUAUCACCUGCUGAGAGCCAUAGCCAAGUAGGAAUGACACAUGGCAAUUUCCUUGUCAGCCUACCCAAUGUUGCUUAGAGGGAGGACUCUCCAUUGUGGAAAUGGGCUUGCCUUGGACCCAGGUCAUUUGCAGUGACAUUGCAUGAAUGUUUGAGAAAGGUGACCCUGCUCAAGGACCAGGGCGGAUCCGGGUUUAGGGUGGAUCUGGGUUUAAGGUGGAUCCUGCUGGGAAUAGGGCGUAUCCUGCUGCCUCAGGAGCCCGCUCCUUGAGUUCCCGUUGAGUUCUCGCAGGAUUCAGAGAGUAUUUGGGAUGCAGAGCCCGGUGGAGGUGUGGAUUUUUUCCCAGAACAUGCGUGUAGACGGCUGGUGAGAAUUCAGGAAUAAAGAGUUGCUGUUGGAAUCUACAGGGUUUUGUGGUGGCUCAGUUAUUUGGUGCCCAGCCAGACUGCAGCAAUCACCUUCUUAGUUGUCACUUAAUCCUCCACGGAAGUGACCAAAAAUGUAUUCCCCCAUGUGUUCUUCAGUAGGAGGAUAUUUUAUAAAUAUGUGUCUGUGCUUCCAUGUUUUACACAAACCAUGGAAUAUUAACUGUUUGUUACUCUUCAUGCAUAAAAUGGGAGAUAAGGAAUAUGACUGGUGCCAUGGGGUUGUCACAUGUAUCACGUAGGUUAAUAUAUAUAUAAAGCAUUUGGGAUAGUGUUUGACACAAAGCAAGCCCAAUGUAAAUCAGCUAUAUAAUAAUCAAGAUAGCUAUAUAAAUAUGCACAAGAUACAUAAUUUUUAUAUCUAGCUCUUGGCUUCCUGGUUGCCAUGUUCUAAAAUGCUCUCCUCCUCUAUGCCCUUCCUCUAUGAGGUUCUGCCCCAUCUCAGGCCGAGAGCUAUGGAGUCCGCCAGCCAUGGGCUGAACCUCUGAAACCGCAAUGUUAUGAGGAUUGUACAGGUAACACAAAAGACAGUGAGCUGCAGAGAGAAGAGAAAAUAGGUGGCCACAGAAUCCAAUUAGGGUUUUCUAUUAGAAAAAGGCCAUGCAUCCUACCAUCAUGCCUUCUGGACAGGCACCAGGCUUUAUUUUUCUUGAGCUUCUUUGACUACUAAGUAUUCAUCACUUAUAAAGCAAUGAUUAAACCCCCAAUCUGCAUUUUCAGUUUUCAGGAGCUAAAACCCAAGAAAUCAAAUAGAAGAAGAAAUCUGAAUGCCUCCUCUCCAAAAAUCUCAGGGGAUAAAGCUAAAGCAAAUUAUUCCCUCUGAAUUCUCCUUAGCCCUCAGAUUUGCAAAGGUUAGGCUCCUUAUUUAUAUAAAAUGUUAGCACCACCCUCAUCUCAAAAUCAGAACAAAACAAAACAAAAUGACCUGGUAAGCAAAUUAAAUCUUUUUCAGUAACAAAAACAAACCUCAAGUCAAUCCAUCUUGCCCAUUUAUAAGAUUUCACAAUGUUCACUAAGAAUUUUAUGUUUGAGUAUUUUUAGUACAACUAUUAGACCCAUGUUGUGAAACGCUAAAUUCAGAAAAGAAAACAGAAGGUUUUGUUGAUAUGUCCCACACUUGAAACAAAGAACACAGAGUUCAAAACAAAAACAACCGUGUGGUACCUGAAAGAAGCAUGAUGGUGUUAAAAUAAAGUAUUCAUAUUCAAUUUCCACAUUGAGACGAAGAGAAUUCUAACUGGCUGGAAUGCUGGAGAAGAGGGUGGAAGAGAGAGCAGAGACUUGAGUUCCACAUCUGGAUGUUGGAUAUAACAUUUGUAAGUCCCUUGCAAAGCCUUCCCCAACAUCAUUCAAGCACCAAGCAUCUGCAUCAUGCUUCUCAUUCACUCCCAUAGGAGCACGUUCAUGUUCUCUUCUUUAUGUCUGUCUGUAUGUUUUAGAAUUUCUACAAUGAGUACAUUUUAUGCAUAUUAUAUAAGCAUAUAUACACAUAUUUGCAAAGGUUUUUAAAAUUUUUGUCACUUUAGGUUUUAGUAGGAGUAUAAAGUGGGUAUGCAUCUGUUAUUAAAAAAAUUAGCUAUUUUCAUCCCUAUCAUCAUCUCCAUGAAAAUAAGUAUUAUUUUAUAAUAUAUUUAAUGGCUCUAAUAUAUUUCCUUUUAUUCUCACCCAUCAGGUAUUUAGAGAUGUCCCUAUUAUAAGAUAUUUAAGGUCCCAUUACAAUUUACCUGUAUUGCAGUGGACAUCCUCAAGAACUUGUUUGGUUUUUUGUUUGUUUUUUACACUUAAACUAUGUGCUUAGAAGGAGUUCUUAGCAGUUAAGCUAAUGGCAAAGUUUUAAUGGUCUGUAAUAGAAGUUCAUGGGCAAAAUAACUGUAUAAAUAUGCACAAGAUUUUUCCCUCCAAUUUCAACCCACUAGAAUCAUUUUUGUCAUAGGGGAAAUGUUGUAGUUUCCAGGAAAGAAGAAGAAACAUUUUUAUGUAGUGGUGACCAAUGCUGGGGAAUAUGCUGGUGCUGGGUAAUGGACCUGAAAACAUGUAGUAGGGUGGAGGAUUAACUUUCACAAAAAAGUAAGAGUUAGAGCCAAGAAUCUCAGAUGUCACAGAAGUGGGCACCAAUUGAACUGGAAAAUAUCUAUUUCCCUGGAUCACAGAAAAAAAAAAUGAGACAUGUAUUUUAGGCAUGAAUGGUAAAGAAUCAUUCACCAUGAAUCAGAACCCCAACUCUGAUCUCAGUUUUAUAAGAACCACUCUUGUUGGCAUUCUUUUUCCUAAAAAAUAGCCAGCCUCACCUAUCUUCUCCAUGAUUGCCAAUUCCUGAGCACAGAUAGCAGACAACCAGGAACCUAUGUGUCUCACACACAUUAUCUUGUCUAGCCUAAAAGCAAUCCGAUAAGGUCCACAUCAAAACUAUUUACAGUGUGAUAACUGACCUUCAGAAAGGUUAAACAAUUUGUCCAGGUGAACAGCCAGCAAGAAACAAGGCAGAAAAAGAAACAAUGGUUUGCCCAAUGACAAAUUCAUUUCCUUCCUUCCUUCCUUCCUUCCUUCCUUCCUUCCUUCCUUCCUUCCUUUCUUCUUUUUGGUGUGGGUAUUAGGGACUGAACCCAGGGCCUCAUGAACACUAAGCAAGCAAUCUACCACUGACCUACAUCCCCAGUCCUAUUUUAAUUUUGAGACAUGGCCUCUUAGUUACACAGGCUGCCCUUGAGUUUGUGAUCUUCUUGCCUCAGCUUCACAGAUAACUGGGAUUACAGGCAUGCACCACUGCGCCCUGCUUAAAGUUCAGUGUCUUAAUAAUUUAUUCUAAAAUUUACUUUUAAAAGCUUUAUGAGUCAUCAAACAUAAAAUCAGGGCUUUAAAGCGAUUAAUUCCUAUAACCUCUAGUUUUUCUUAAACACCCCUUUUCAUUUUGAGCUGAAUAGAUUUAAAGUGAUUAACAUUAGAGGAACUCUGAAUCCAUUUCAUCCAGGCACACAAAUGUCUCUGUGCUAUACAUUGCUCUCUAAAUAGAAAUUGCUUUAGAUUUAAAAAAAAUAAUAAUAAUAGCUGAAAUAAUUAUACAGCUUCUAGGUGAGUCAUUCUAAAACUUUUAGUCUUUGGGAAGAUUCCAUAUUUCUGGUUAUCUGCUGUGAAACCAUUUCCAGCUACCCACUUACAUCUCUUGGCAAAAUUAUAGCUCAUUAUUAAACAUAUUUUAUGCAAUAUUGUUGAUUUAUUUAUGCCUCAAGCCUACGGUUAAAAUCCACACUGAUAGUAAAGAUGCAUAUUAAAAGUUUAUAUUGGGGCCUUUGGUAGCCUCAUCAGGCUCUAAAAGCUACCAUAUUAAACUAGAUAAUAACCCAGGAACAGACUGAAUUUAAACCAAAAGAUAUUUGGAGUCACAUCAAUGCAAUGCCACAAAUAUUUACUGCCUUCUUUUUUCCCACACCUCAGGUACUCAUGCUGCCUCCAGGAACACCAAGAUGAGGUACCAACAACUCUGCCUCGACCAUCUCUCCAUCUGUUUGAGAAAUAUAUUAGCAGAUAAAUUAAAGCACAUUGUGAUUUCGUAUGUAUCUGCAGUUGCAUGUUGAAGUGAUAGAGGGAGCUGACGUUCGGACGCCAUCCAGAAGGUGAGGGAAGAACACCAAGAAGCCUGCUCAGAAGUGCCGGUGCCUGAGCUGGACUUUGAAAGAUGAAUAUGAAAGUCACCAUGGGAACCUCUGGGACCUCUUCCCCUCAGUGCUGUCCUCUCUACCUCCCUCCCAGCAUUGGUCAACCAGAGUGACCACUGACACACGAGUGCCCUGCUCUCUCAGGUGUGGAGGUCCUGCCUCCCUCCAUCCCACAGCAUGGUCAGAUGCUGCUGUUUUCUGGAAACGCCCCUUUUACAGCUGCACAUGAAAUGUCACUCCAUUUUGAAAGAACACUGUUUCACUGUCUUGCCUUUUCUUGACCUCUUCUUUCUCUUGGGGUUAUUGGAAUCACUGCCCCCUCCCUCUUGGUACUGAUGUGCCCUGCACAAACACAGGGGGUGCUUUAUUUUUAGCAGCAUCGCCUCUACUCAUACUGACAACAAUGCUGAGCUGAGCAGCUGCCAUGGAGUAGGGUUCCAUAAGCAGUAACUAUUGGGGGAGGAACUUUUGCCUGUGAGAGGAGUCACUGGAUCCCUUGACAAGAAAACAGCUGAAGAGGGACUUCACUUGCUGGAGGGGGCAUAUACCUGACAAGGGAGUGGAAAUGGAAUUCUAAAUACAAGCUGUUAGCAUUUGAAUGGGUCCCCCCAAAGUUCAUAUGUUGGAAAUUUAAGUCCAAAUGUGGCAGUUUGGGGAGGUAGAGCCUAAUGGGAGAUGUUUGGGUCUUGAGGAUUCUACACUCAUGAAUAGAUUAAUGGGAAUGAUUUCAGCUUUCCAACCCUCUCUUGUUCCCUCCCUGUUGUCCUCCUACCACAUUAUGAAGUAGCAAGAAGGCCCUCACCAGAAGUUAUGAGGAUGUCAGACUCUUGUUCUCAGACUUCUUAUCUUCUAGAACCAUGAGAUCAGUAAACUUCUUUUCUUUAUAACAUACCCAGUUUUUGGUAUUCUGUUACAAUAGUAGGAAGCAGAAUGACACAAACCCAAUGCUGACCUGUAUGAAGAUGUCACCAUUUAAUUGAAUUCUUUCAGGAGAAAUUAAUAAGCCAAAAGUCUUAGUUUUCUCAGAGAUGGACAAACUGGAAU